UAAUUUUUUGGUACCGGAUCCCAGACUGGAUCGUGGCUGUGACGCCCGGAUAAUUAGGCUACAGUGAAACUCUGCUAAUGAUGCCACGUCACCUCGAUUACUGUUGCUAAUCUCGCGUUAGUCCGAGAACGGUUCGAAUUCAAAUUCAAAAUCAAGCAAACAAUAAAAGUUUUUUUUAUAUUAAAACUAAAAUGUUUGGAGUGAGCCAAAUAAUUCAUAAGUAAGUAUGGUGGAGAAACCACACUUUUAUAAAAGUGUAAAAUACCCUAAAAUGUUUUAAACAGUAGCAACAACAAUUAGUUGAAUGCCUUUUACAAUAAAUAAAAUAUUAAACUAUUUUAUUUUGUUGCCCAAACUUAUGUGGCAGUAGCUAAUUACUAAUGCUAAAUUAGGGACUACUUUUAUAGUUUAUAAAGCUAAAAUAAAUGAAGAGCUAAAAUAAAAUAGAAAACAAAAAAGGAAUAAUAAACAAAAUAGAAAAACAAACUAACAAAAAAGAAAAGAAAAGGAAACCCCCCAAACCCCCGGGCCAACCGACCCAGCUAGCCAACCGGCCGGCCCAUUCGGCCAGCCCACCCCGGCCGGCCCACCUCUCCCCGCAUAACCCCCCACCACCCCGCAAACCCUAACCCAUUCCACGAUCCCCACUCGCCCCACCCCGUGCGCCCCCUCGCUCCCCCGCGAUCUGGAUCGGGGGAAACGACGCCCCGACACCGCCGCCUCAUCCCUACACCCAUCGCCGGCCGGCGCCGCCCGUCUUCGCCGGCGCCUCCUCGUUGCCUCCCCACACCGUCCCCUCAACCCUCCACCCCCGAUCCAGAUCGGAUCGGGCUCGCACGCGCGUUGCCGCCUGUACCGCGCCGGCGACUGGAGCUUCCUCGCCGGCCUGCUUCGCCGCCUCCCCACCGGACUGCCGCCUCACCGUCCUCCUCCUCGUCCCCUCCUCGCCGGACCACCCCACGCACGCUGCCUGGACCCUACGCGCCCCGUGAGCACCUCUCCUCCUCCUCCCCUGGAUUCCCGCUUGCCGACCGCGGCCAUAACCGUCGUGCGCACGCGCGCUCGCACUCCCGCGGCCACUCACCACGCCCCCUGCUAUCGGUGCGCCCCGGCUCCCCUACUAGUGCUCCUCUGCCGCCCACACGCCCGCUCUUCGCCGGACCGCACUCCGUCUUCCCCCACGUCGGCCGGCCACCACGACCGCCUUGGCCACUGGCUCGGUUCCGCCGCACUCCCUGUGGGCGAGCGCUCCCCCAGGAGCCCGUCUCCCGCGCGCGUCCACCGCUGGGUCCGCGCCCGCUCGGUCGCUAGGGCCGCCCCCCUGCUCCCCUCGCCCCACGCCGGCACCGCCGCCCUGCUGCCGCUUGUGCGGUGGCCGCCGGCAACCUCGCCCCACACUGGGCGGGAUGCGCCCCUGCGCCCAUCCCUGGCCGGCGACGUGCCCCGCCGUGGCCGCCCGUGUCCACGCCCGCGUGCCCCUGGGCGUGCACCCGAACGGGGCACCCCCGUAACCCGUCGCCCGCGCCCUGUUUGGCCUCUGGGCCAAUGACAAACGGGGCCCAGGCCCUAGAACAAAAAAAAAGAAAGGAUUUAAAAUAAUAAUAAUAAUAAUAAUAAAUAAAAUAAUUAAAAUAUUAAUUAGUUAAUUAAUCAAAGAAUUAAUUAACUUAAUUAAUCCUGAUUAGAUUAACCUAAUCACCUAGUUUAGUUAAUUAACCCGUUAGGCUAAUUAACAGUCAAUGACAUGCGGGACCCACACGUCAGGUUGACCCAGUCAACUCUGUUGACUGCUGACGUCAGCAUGACAUCAUGCUGAUGUCAUAAUUCCAUUUUUCGAAUUAAAUAAUUAAUUGAUUAAAUUCCAAAUUAAUAAAAUCUUUAAAAAAAUCAUAUCUUUUAAUCGGUAACUCGGAUUAAAAUAUUUUCAACAUGAAAGUUGCUCAGAACGACGGGACGAAUUCGGAUACGCAGUCCGUUCGUCCGCCACACCCCCCUAACCUAUCGAACCCGCAACUUUCCCCUCCGUCUCCUCUGCCCGAAAACACGAAACACCGGGAAUACUUUCCCGGAUGAUUCCCCCUUAACCAGUACCACCUCAUACCCCGUUAAGGCACGCCUAGCAUCGCUUCUUGACAUGUCAUGCAUCGAUAUGCAUCUGUUUACUUGGUAUUCAUUGUUCUUCCCCCUCUUCUCUCCGGUAGACUACGAGACCGACGCUGCUGCUGCCCAGUUCGACUGUGGAGUUGACGACCCCUCUCUCUUGCCAGAGCAACCAGGCAAGCCCCCCCCUUGAUCACCAGAUAUCGCCUAUUCUCCUCUAUACUGCUUGCAUUAGAGUAGUGUAGCAUGUUACUGCUUUCGUAAAUCCUAUUCUGAUGCAUAGCCUGACAUUGUCGCUACAUCUGUUGAUACCUUACCUGCAAUCCUAAAUGCUUAGUAUAGGAUGCUAGUUUAUCAUCAUUGGCCCUACAUUCUUGUCAGUCUGCCUUGCUAUACUAUCGGGCCGUGAUCACUUGGGAGGUGAUCACGGGUAUAUACUAUACAUACAUACAUACUAUACAGAUGGUGACUAAAGUCGGGUCAGCUCAUUGAGUACCCGCAAGUGAUUCUGACGAGGGGGCUGAAAGGACAGGUGGCUCCAUCCCGGUAGAGGUGGGCCUGGGUUCCCGACGGCCCUCGACUGUUACUUUGUGGCGGAGCGACAGGGCAGGUUGAGACCACCUAGGAGACAGGUGGGCCUGGCCCUGUUCGGCGUUCGCGGAUACUUAACACGCUUAACGAGAUCUUGGUAUUUGAUCUGAGUCUGGCUACGAGCCUAUACGCACUAACCAUCUACGUGGGAGUAGUUAUGGGUAUCCCGACGUCGUGGUAUCAGCCGAAGCACUUCAGACGUCAGCGACGGAGCGGCGCGCGCCGAAUUGGACUGGAACGCCACUAGGCUAGGUCUGCUUUCGGCCGCGUACGCAACGUGCAGGUGUGCUAUGGGCGAUGGGCCCAGACCCCUGUGCGCUUAGGUUUAGACCGGCGUGUUGGCCUCUCUGUUGAGCCUAGGUGGGGCUGCGACGUGUUGAUCUUCCGAGGCCGGGCAUGACCCAGGAAAGUGUGUCCGGCCAAAUGUGAUCGAGUGUGUUGGGUUAUGUGGUGCACCCCUGCAGGGAAGUUAAUCUAUUCGAAUAGCCGUGAUCUUCGGUAACAGGACGACUUGGAGUUGUACCUUGACCUUAUGACAACUAGAACCGGAUACUUAAUAAAACACACCCUUCCAAGUGCCAGAUACAACCGGUGGUCGCUCUACCUCAGGGAUAUGAGGAGGGGAUCGCCGGGUAGGAUUAUGCUAUGAGAUGCUAUUUGGAGAUGCUACUUGGAGGACUUCAAUCUACUCUCUACUACAUGCUGCAAGACGGAGGCUGCCAGAAGCGUAGUCUUCGACAGGAUUAGCUAUCCCCCUCUUAUUCUGGCAUUCUGCAGUUCAGUCCACCGAUAUGGCCUCCUUACACAUAUACCCAUGCAUAUGUAGUGUAGUUCCUUGCUUGCGAGUACUUUGGAUGAGUACUCACGGUUGCUUUCUCCCCCCUUUUUCCCCUUUCCUUUCUUUCUGGUUGUCGCAACCAGAUGCUGGAGCCCUGGAGCCAGACGCCAUAGUCGACGAUGAUUCCUACUACACUGGAGGUGCCUACUACUACGUGCAGCCCGCUGACGACGACCAGGAGUAGUUAGGAGGAUCCCAGGCAGGAGGCCUGCGCCUCUUUCGAUCUGUAUCCCAGUUUGUGCUAGCCUUCUUAAGGCAAACUUGUUUAACUUAUGUCUGUACUCAGAUAUUGUUGCUUCCGCUGACUCGUCUAUGAUCGAGCACUUGUAUUCGAGCCCUCGAGGCCCCUGGCUUGUAUUAUGAUGCUUGUAUGACUUAUUUAUGUUUUUAGAGUUGUGUUGUGAUAUCUUCCCAUGAGUCCCUGAUCUUGAUCGUACACAUUUGCGUGCAUGAUUAGUGUACGAUUAAACCGGGGGCGUCACAAGUUGGUAUCAGAGCCGACUGCCUGUAGGAAUCCCCCUUUCCAACUCCUUGGCCGAAGUCGAGUCUAGUUGUUGAAAAACUUUUACUAACAUGGCUGUGUGGCCCAUGGGCCCACGUCGCCAUCGAGAGGUAUUAGGAUCUUUUAUUCCUCGACCUUUACUCUGGGAUUCUGAACCCUCUUCUAUUCGGGUUAAACGAUUUUUACUAAAAACUAACUUUAGGUUCUCGAAAAUACUUUCUCCCGGAGAGCCCCUUCAGUCCAGAUGGUCACCGACUGCACCAGAAGAUUUCGGAGAUACUCUUUGAUAUUCUCUCGAGACUUUGUGCCCAUCACUUUUGCUAUUCCCGACCACCGAUAAAUCCUUAUGGAUAACUACUUACACUUGCCAUUCUUACGAUCAUUCCCCAUUGUUCUUGUUAUUACAAGAUACCCGAAGUUUUCUCUAUUGUUCCGAGAAUACUUCGUGCCUACUGCCUAGCAGUUCUUUGCCACAUGAAUACCCCUUCAAAUAAAUCCCCGCACUUGUCAAGUAUCCGCUCAUCCCCAGUUGUUCAUGAGUUUCACAAAAGUCUUCAAAAUACUAUUCGAUCUUCCGAAAAUCCUCUGGAGCCUUUGGCUCUUGAAAUUCUUGCUUGCUCGCAUUAUGGUUAAUCCCAUAAGUCUCGUAGUCUUAAUGACAUUCCUUGUCAUUAUCAUUUUGAGUCUGUUGACUCAAUAUGUUUGCGAAUGCACGCAAUCAUCAUUGAUCCUUAUAAAUUACUUCUCCGGCUAAGCUGCCAUUCUUUUAACUGGAAUUGGUUCUCGACCAAUCCAAUUGUCGUUGAUUGUACCCUAAGGCUAUUCAACUUAUCCAUCCCUACUCGGAGCAUUGCUUCUAAUCCCUUGAUUUGGAAAUCAUAAUUCCUUUGCAUUUGACAAUUGAGUUAGUCUGUUGUUUCUAUAAUCUGAUCUCCUUGCAAUCUUCUUCCUCUAGUUGAGUACCGAUGCUCACGUCAGAUCCCUUGUGGACCACCAGAUCCUUUGUUGGAUUUUAUCUGAGAAUGCCCUUCAUAUUCAAUAACCUUGUGAGCCUUUCCUCUGAUACAUAAUGCCUUUGGUAAAUUGUAUCCUCUGCUUUCUUAACCAUGCUCUGUCUUCGAGCUUGAGUUAAUUACUUCUAAAGAUUCUGGUAUAUGAUUCUAAGAUGCCCCGAUGGGUUGAACCUAUGCCUUCCUUAAUAGGUGUGAACUCGAAAGUUUUCACGAGUCAUACUCUUCUGGUAUUUUGCCAGAUAAAAUUUCAAAACUACAACUUCAUUGAGCGCGAGAAGUGAAUGAAAGGUUGUGCAUUGGAGAAGUGGGAGUCGACCUUGAACUUUGUGUUCAUGCCCAUGGACACGAUGUACAUCUUCUCAUCGAAGCUUCUUUUAAAAUCAAUUAUUCCCUUGGUAUAAGUUCAUCUUAUAUCUGAGAUCUGGCCUUUUUGCAAUCGUGGUUCUGACCAUGUUCUCCUUUAAAUAUCAUGUCCUGUGCAAGUUUAAGCACUUGUCUUCUAUAGAGCAAUACCCCAGUUCAACUUCUAGUUUGAUCUGUCGUCGAGUAUUACCACCUGGUAUCUCGAGAUUAUCUUGGAACUGCAUAAUUUCUUAUGAGUUCUUCAUCAAGUACUACAUACUCACCGAUUACAAUUUUUCAUGGGCUCGGAGUUAUUGAACACUCAAAGACACCAAUAACUGAACCAAGUCCGCACUACGGUUCAACAACUCUUCAGUAAGCUUCUAUAAGUACGAGUUUGAACCCGAUCACGCCAUUCCUAGCCUGUUUGGCUAUAUCAUUGACGUGAUGAUUCUAACCGUGCUACCUGGUCCUUGAUUCUCGGAGCACCAAUUUGCGACGAUAGCUAAGCUUACGUCGAUUUUCCUCGCCAUACCCUUUCACCUUAAACAACAAGCUUGAGUUCGAGUUUGUGUCAUACCCAUGGUUCCAAUGACUUUUGGCUUCAUCAUUCCUUUGACUUGAUGUCGUCGCUGAUUGAUUACUUCUUCAUGAAAUCUGUCGACAAAUGUGUCGUGAUCCUCAUCAACCUUAUGAGUUCUUCCAGGAUAUCAAUUGAAUUCAUGAUGGGUAAUACCAUCCUUGCCCCUCGAUGAUUCCUGUUCUCAUCAACCACUUUAUUGCAUUCCCUCCAACACAAAACUUCUUCUUGUUUUGUGUUGUACCUUGAGUUCCAUGCUAUCCAACUUAUGUUAUGAUCUACCGCGGAGUAUUACCAUCUUUGAUGUCAAGAAUGUUGUAAGGAUUGCUCCACCUCUUAAGAAUUCUUGGUAUAGUGAUACUUCUCCCCAUCAUCAUUCUUUCUUGGUCCUCGAGUUGAUUCCAAACGGGGUACCAACAAGUGGACAGUGCUGUUUGGAUUCUGCCCUUCUAGCAACCCUAUUGCUUUGAAGUUAAUGGUCGGCCGUUCAUUCUUAUACUAUUGAUUAUUGAAUCACCAUUCUGACAUUGGUCGUGCAACCCGGCCCAUAUUUCGGGUGCACCUUUCAACCAAUGUUUAAUUGUGUAUGUUUUCCUCGAGCAUACAUCAUUAUACCAUUUGAUCUGACAAAUGUUAUCUCCUUGUUCACAUAAUUGUGGGAAUCCAUCUUUUGUUAAUCUUGAUGAAUUGCCGCUGAUUCCAUCAGCCACCUCCUCAUCCUCUCGUUGGUUUACUGAUGAACUCUUGUUUCGGAACUCGCUUCCAUAGUUCAUUUCUCGAGAACUUUACAAUGUCAUCUCGUCAAUUUGUAUUACACCUUUUUCUCUCAGGCAUCCUGAGUCUGAGGUAUUUUGACACCAAUUGGAUCUGAAUCUCGGUCAAAUAUGAUGGUUGGGACAACUUUCCAAGAGUUAUGAUAUUGAUCCUUUGAUGACCCGGUAACAUGAUGUCAUGCCUAGCACCCCCCCCCCGGCUGGAGGACCUAUCAUUACAGAUUCCUUUUCAGCAAGGUUAUCCAUUCAUCCAUGAGGAAAUUGUAAGACUUAUUCUACAAGCUAUUCCUGAUGGAUCCUUCGUGUUUUCAAAGUCUGAUCUUCACCUGAAGACCUUGUCAAUGCUAUCUCUAAGCAUGUCAAUGGUACUCCGAUUUUCAACAGAAACAUUUGAAGCACGAUGCUAAAUUUUAUUUAUCAUUUAUCCUAACACCGUGGUAUGGGUAAUAUCAUGAGAUUCCUCCCCCCUUACCUAAAUGGUUUUCUACUUUAUAUCCUGCCAUGGAUAUCUUGCUCUGCUUGUCCUUGGGAAGGAUAUACCCUUGAAAUAUGUGUUUAAACAUAUUUUCCUUUCCAUUGUUCUGUUUAAUCUGAUGAUCAUAUUUUCCUUCCAUUGGUUUGUUUAAACCUUUUCUAUGAUCUAUAUGAUAUAAGCAGUAAUAAUCCACUGCUUGUGCAAACACCUCGAUGUACAACUCUGUCGGUAAGACCUUGUUACUAUUGUUGAUGACAUUCCGGUAACCACCGAUGGACGGGAACUUUGCCUAUUGGUCCGCCUCGUUCAACGAGCAGGAAAAUGGUUCUCUUCGUCCCUCGCCCUUGGUACCGACAUUGUUGACAACAAAAUCGACAGGCUAUCCUCUGACAUACCUUGUUAUCUUGACCGUGCAAAUAUAUUAGCGCCUUCCUGCUUUUAACCCACAUGGUGGGCCCAUAACCCACAGUUCCGCAGGAUCGAAACCUGACUCUCCUGUACACCCUGUUGUCAGAGUUAUUCCUCGUGCUUGACUUUGUAUGUAAUUCACGGGCCACUUGCCUGUUGAUCGAUUCUGGUAUCGGACACAAUACUUAUUCUCGUUGCUCUGAACCCCUUUCGCACUCUGCUUCAAGCAAUGAACGAUUGCCUAUCCGCUUGAAACCUCUUAUUACACCGUCUUACUUUGCUGUCGAUGUGUGUCAUUUGUUCAACUCGAGAGCUACUCAUAUGUUUAUUCCGGGGAUACCCCCAGAUGAAUUUCCCUUAUAACAUCCUAUCAUUGUAGAGCUGCCCCCUACCUAUUUGUAAGUACGAUGGAGCUCCCCGAAGAAAGGACGACAACUUCAUCAUGAUGCUUUGGGAUAAAGAAUUGAAGGCAUCAACGAAAGGGAUUAACUUCUUCAAGAAGAUCCAUUAGAAUAACCAGAACCCCCCCUUACUCCACCGCUUAAAUCUCGGGACGAGAUUUCUUGUAGUGGAGGAGAAUUGUGACGCCCGGAUAAUUAGGCUACAGUGAAACUCUGCUAAUGAUGCCACGUCACCUCGAUUACUGUUGCUAAUCUCGCGUUAGUCCGAGAACGGUUCGAAUUCAAAUUCAAAAUCAAGCAAACAAUAAAAGUUUUUUUUAUAUUAAAACUAAAAUGUUUGGAGUGAGCCAAAUAAUUCAUAUGUAAGUAUGGUGGAGAAACCACACUUUUAUAAAAGUGUAAAAUACCCUAAAAUGUUUUAAACAGUAGCAACAACAAUUAGUUGAAUGCCUUUUACAAUAAAUAAAAUAUUAAACUAUUUUAUUUUGUUGCCCAAACUUAUGUGGCAGUAGCUAAUUACUAACGCUAAAUAGGGACUACUUUUAUAGUUUAUAAAGCUAAAAUAAAUGAAGAGCUAAAAUAAAAUAGAAAACAGAAAAGGAAUAAUAAACAAAAUAGAAGAAAAGAAAUAAAAUAGAAAAACAAACUAACAAAAAAGAAAAGAAAAGGAAACCCCCCAAACCCCCGGGCCAACCGACCCAGCUAGCCAACCGGCCGGCCCAUUCGGCCAGCCCACCCCGGCCGGCCCACCUCUCCCCGCAUAACCCCCCACCACCCCGCAAACCCUAACCCAUUCCACGAUCCCCACUCGCCCCACCCCGUGUGCCCCCUCGCUCCCCCCCGAUCUGGAUCGGGGGAAACGACGCCCCGACACCGCCGCCUCAUCCCUACACCCAUCGCCGGCCGGCGCCGCCCGUCUCCGCCGGCGCCUCCUCGUUGCCUCCCCACACCGUCCCCUCAACCCUCCACCCCCUAUCCAGAUCGGAUCGGGCUCGCACGCGCGUUGCCGCCUGUACCGCGCCGACGACUGGAGCUUCCUCGCCGGCCUGCUUCGCCGCCUCCCCACCGGACUGCCGCCUCACCAUCCUCCUCCUCGUCCCCUCCUCGUCGGACCACCCCACGCACGCUGCCUGGACCCUACGCGCCCCGUGAGCACCUCUCCUCCUCCUCCCCUGGAUUCCCGCUCGCCGACCGCGGCCAUAACCGUCGUGCGCACGCGCGCUCGCACUCCCGCGGCCACUCACCACGCCCCCCUGCUACUGGUGCGCCCCGGCUCCCCUACUAGUGCUCCUCUGCCGCCCACACGCCCGCUCUUCGCCGGACCGCACUCCGUCUUCCCCCACGUCAGCCGGCCACCACGGCCGCCUUGGCCACUGGCUUGGUUCCGCCGCACUCCCUGUGGGCGAGCGCUCCCCCAGGAGCCCGUCUCCCGCGCGCGUCCACCGCUGGGGCCGCGCCCGCUCGGUCGCUAGGGCCGCCCCCCUGCUCCCCUCNNNNNNNNNNNNNNNNNNNNNNNNNNNNNNNNNNNNNNNNNNNNNNNNNNNNNNNNNNNNNNNNNNNNNNNNNNNNNNNNNNNNNNNNNNGGCACCGCCGCCCUGCUGCCGCUUGUGCGGUGGCCGCCGGCAACCUCGCCCCACACUGGGCGGGAUGCGCCCCUGCGCCCAUCCCUGGCCGGCGACGUGCCCCGCCGUGGCCGCCCGUGUCCACGCCCGCGUGCCCCUGGGCGUGCACCCGAACGGGGCACCCCCGUAACCCGUCGCCCGCGCCCUGUUUGGCCUCUGGGCCAAUGACAAACGGGGCCCAGGCCCUAGAACAAAAAAAAGAAAGGAUUUAAAAUAAUAAUAAUAAUAAUAAUAAUAAUAAUAAAAUAAUUAAUUAGUUAAUUAAUCAAAGAAUUAAUUAACUUAAUUAAUCCUGAUUAGAUUAACCUAAUCACCUAGUUUAGUUAAUUAACCCGUUAGGCUAAUUAAGAGUCAAUGACAUGCGGGACCCACACGUCAGGUUGACCCAGUCAACUCUGUUGACUGCUGACGUCAUCAUGACAUCAUGCUGAUGUCAUAAUUCCAUUUUUCGAAUUAAAUAAUUAAUUGAUUAAAUUCCAAAUUAAUAAAAUCUUUAAAAAAAUCAUUUCUUUUAAUCCGUAACUCGGAUUAAAAUAUUUUCAACAUGAAAGUUGCUCGAGAGCGACGGGACGAAUUCGGAUACGCAGUCCGUUCGUCCGCCACACCCCCCUAACCUAUCGAACCCGCAACUUUCCCCUCCGGCUCCUCUGCCCGAAAACACGAAACACCGGGAAUACUUUCUCGGAUGAUUCCCCCUUAACCAGUACCACCUCAUACCCCGUUAAGGCACGCCUAGCAUCGCUUCUUGACAUGUCAUGCAUCGAUAUGCAUCUGUUUACUUGGUAUUCAUUGUUCUCCCCCCUCUUCUCUCCGGUAGACUACGAGACCGACGCUGCUGCUGCCCAGUUCGACUACGGAGUUGACGACCCCUCUCUCUUGCCAGAGCAACCAGGCAAGCCCCCCCCCCUUGAUCACCAGAUAUCGCCUAUUCUCCUCUAUACUGCUUGCAUUAGAGUAGUGUAGCAUGUUACUGCUUUCGUUAAUCCUAUUCUGAUGCAUAGCCUGACAUUGUCGCUACAUCUGUUGAUACCUUACCUGCAAUCCUAAAUGCUUAGUAUAGGAUGCUAGUUUAUCAUCAUUGGCCCUACAUUCUUGUCAGUCUGCCUUGCUAUACUAUCGGGCUGUGAUCACUUGGGAGGUGAUCACGGGUAUAUACUAUACAUACAUACAUACUAUACAGAUGGUGACUAAAGUCGGGUCAGCUCAUUGAGUACCCGCAAGUGAUUCUGACGAGGGGGCUGAAAGGACAGGUGGCUCCAUCCCGGUAGAGGUGGGCCUGGGUUCCCGACGGCCCUCGACUGUUACUUUGUGGUGGAGCGACAGGGCAGGUUGAGACCACCUAGGAGACAGGUGGGCCUGGCCCUGUUCGGCGUUCGCGGAUACUUAACACGCUUAACGAGAUCUUGGUAUUUGAUCUGAGUCUGGCUACGAGCCUAUACGCACUAACCAUCUACGUGGGAGUAGUUAUGGGUAUCCCGACGUCGUGGUAUCAGCCGAAGCACUUCAGACGUCAGCGACGGAGCGGCGCGCGCCGAAUUGGACUGGAACGCCACUAGGCUAGGUCUGCUUUCGGUCGCGUACGCAACGUGCAGGUGUGCUAUGGGCGAUGGGCCCAGACCCCUGUGCACUUAGGUUUAGACCGGCGUGCUGGCCUCUCUGUUGAGCCUAGGUGGGGCUGCGACGUGUUGAUCUUCCGAGGCCGGGCAUGACCCAGGAAAGUGUGUCCGGCCAAAUGGGAUCGAGCGUGUUGGGUUAUGUGGUGCACCCCUGCAGGGAAGUUAAUCUAUUCGAAUAGCCGUGAUCUUCGGUAACAGGACGACUUGGAGUUGUACCUUGACCUUAUGACAACUAGAACCGGAUACUUAAUAAAACACACCCUUCCAAGUGCCAGAUACAACCGGUGGUCGCUCUACCUCAGGGAUAUGAGGAGGGGAUCGCCGGGUAGGAUUAUGCUAUGAGAUGCUAUUUGGAGAUGCUACUUGGAGGACUUCAAUCUACUCUCUACUACAUGCUGCAAGACGGAGGCUGCCAGAAGCGUAGUCUUCGACAGGAUUAGCUAUCCCCCUCUUAUUCUGGCAUUCUGCAGUUCAGUCCACCGAUAUGGCCUCCUUACACAUAUACCCAUGCAUAUGUAGUGUAGUUCCUUGCUUGCGAGUACUUUGGAUGAGUACUCACGGUUGCUUUCUCCCCCCUUUUUCCCCUUUCCUUUCUUUCUGGUUGUCGCAACCAGAUGCUGGAGCCCUGGAGCCAGACGCCACAGUCGACGAUGAUUCCUACUACACUGGAGGUGCCUACUACUACGUGCAGCCCGCUGACGACGACCAGGAGUAGUUAGGAGGAUCCCAGGCAGGAGGCCUGCGCCUCUUUCGAUCUGUAUCCCAGUUUGUGCUAGCCUUCUUAAGGCAAACUUGUUUAACUUAUGUCUGUACUCAGAUAUUGUUGCUUCCGCUGACUCGUCUAUGAUCGAGCACUUGUAUUCGAGCCCUCGAGGCCCCUGGCUUGUAUUAUGAUGCUUGUAUGACUUAUUUAUGUUUUUAGAGUUGUGUUGUGAUAUCUUCCCGUGAGUCCCUGAUCUUGAUCGUACACAUUUGCGUGCAUGAUUAGUGUACGAUUAAAUCGGGGGCGUCAAAGUGGCCAUGACGGUGGUCAAGGUGUCUGGAGGUAGACACGGGGCCACCCAGGACUAGCCCGAUGGGGUCUGAGUCGGAAUGGCCGGGAGAGUGUCAUGACAAUGGAAUGGUUUCGUCGGAACACUGAUGGUCCACCCGAAUGGGAGUGCGAGGCCAUGGGUUCCGUAGUGUGGGUACAGUGUACUAACCUCUGCAGAGUGUUUUUAAUCUAUCGAUAGCCGAGUCCACGGUUAAGGACACACUCGAUAGUAGGGUACACCAUGGGUCAACACUUAAUAAAAUAUGCACACUAAAUUUGUACUGAGGAUGGCAGUGAGGCCAUCGUGUUGAGUUUGGCCAUGAGUUGGUCGGGUUUGUGAUCGCCGUAAGGAUCACGGGCCAAGAGUUGGUCGGGUUCUAAUCGCCGUAAGGAUCAUUGGCCAUGAAUUGGUCGGGUGCUGAUCGCCGAAAGGAUCACACGUGUGUUUUCGAAGUUAUCAUGUUUGUGGUAUGGAAAUGAUCACGUUCGGUAAGAAGUACCAGUUGAGCAUAGUCACAACAUAUUAGACGUAUGGUUGCAUUGUUGCUUAAAUGGUUAAAUAUCCUGAUAUUGUUUGCCAUUAUGUUUAUGCUUAUUGUGAGCUUGCAAGUAUAUUCAAUGUACUGACCUGGCGUGUCAUGCCACUUUGCAGGUCAUGCCGGAUUUGAUUACUUGCUUGUCGUGGUUUCCGUUCGUGCGAGCUAGGAUAAGCGUUCCAGCCAGAGUCCCUGCGGAGUGGAGUUCACCACCGUCGCCGUUGUUCCGCUACUAGAGUUAUUCCGCUGCUUUGAGUUGUUCUGCUGCUUUCAUAGAUCAACUGAGGAUGGCGUAGUGCCGACGUACCGAUGUUAUUAAUUGUAAUAUCGGAGACCUUGUAUUCAUAUUCGUGUAAUAAUAAUAGAAAGCUGGUUUGUUCUAUGCUAAGCAGUGCUGUAUUCCAGAAGACUUCUCCUUGAUCAUUGGGCUGGAAUACGGGGCGUUCCGAUUUCCUCUGAGCCGGGGUGCUACAGGCUUGGUAUCAGAGCAGGUCUGGCUGUAGGACGCCCUAGACCGCGCAAACAUUAGAAAGCGAUAGUAUAGACCCCAGUUGGUUUGUUGCACUUGAUUGCUGCAUUUGUUUGUUGCAUAGCAUGCAUAUAGCCUUAGUAUUUGUGAUAACGGUUUAUCUGGUGAGUGUAGCUGGCAUCGAUUCAGAUCCACUACAGCUGAAGCUUUGCAUUUCUCUAGUUCCUUUUUCUUUCGGUGUUUGGUGUCGUUUCUGUCCCAGCAGAGUGAUGCCAAGUGAUCCCGACACUGUUUGCAAAAAUGGUGCUCAGGUAUCGCAUUGAUGUCUUUCUUUUAGUCCUAUCUAUCGUUUUGGUGAUGGACAUGUUUCUAUCCCGGAUCGUUCUUUUUGUCGUGUUGGCAACCCUUAAUGAUCUUAGUUAUCAAGAAAGGGUAAUGCCAGCAGCCUCAGUUUUUCCCCGCUAUCCUAUUUCUUGGACAGUAUAGAUCUUUUUCUGUCCGCUUGAUAAUAAAGUAGUUGCGACCUUCGUGUCCAACUGCAUGAUUACCGAGUACGUCCUCGCCUCUAAGCUAGUUCAAGUUGCUACCUGGCUAAGCUAGCACAUGGUGUAGCGCUGUUUACACCAAUUCUUCCACACAUUUAUUCGUCCUCGUGCACAUCGCCACAUCAUAUUAGACAGCAAUACCGGAGUUUCUGCGAAAUUUGUGUGCUCAGGUGUGCAUGCAUAUUAUUGUGUGAGUAGCAGUAAUAUGUGAUGCUUGCUUGAUUAAUUAUAUUAGUAGAAUGCUUGUGUGCUUUUGUUUUAGUCGUUUCUUUUGUUCCUUUCUUUGGGCCUUCAGUGUUACAAAUUUCCCCCCUAUUAAAGUUGCUCGUCAACCGACACUGGACCCGAAGAGUCAGCAAGAAAUGCAUAUAUUUGGAAACUCAGCUAAACAGAAUGGAAUUAUCAGCUGACUGAAGUGAAAUUGGGAAUAUCUUGUCUGGAUGCAAAAGAAAUCCUGGAUGGACCGUCAGUAUCAAGUUUGCAUUAGCAUGCACUCAUCACAACAAAAUGAUUAAAUCAGCAAGAAGAUAAAUUGUGUGCAAGGUUGACAAAAUAUUAUCAAAGGUAUGGCUCAGAGACAAGUUUAAUUUUUAUUGAGGAUGAUUUUGGAACCCGAUGUACCUGGAAGCAAGCAAAAAUAUGGCAUAUACUCAGAAAGGAGGAUAGUCUAGUAAAACAAUGUUUCAUACCAGAAAUCAACAUCAGAAAUAUUAAGAUGGUAUGUAUAUGUGGAAAUCGGUCCGCAUAUCACAGUAAGAAGUUUCUGGUAUAAGCAACCCACUUUUCCCUCGCAACAUACCCGAGAGGCUUCCAAGGCAAGAUUCAUCUAUCUUCCUCAGUACGAUACAUGGACGACUUCUCGCGCAAGGUACUCUGCCUUCUUCAGUAAGCAACCGCGAAGACUUUCGGCAUAAGGUACCGAGUCUUUCCCCAGCAAUGUCUUUAAGGGGGUAAGCUUUUGAAGCAUGAUAUUCAGUCUUCUUCACCAAGCUGUCCGAUGAAAGUUUCGAGCACAAGCCAGCAAAUAUUCCUCAGUAAGACAUUGGUACAAGGUAGUACGCUGUGAGUUGACAGCAUGUGGCAGUGAAUCCCAAGAAUCAGAUCCGCAACAUUUUUGUCAGACUCAAGAAUCAGUCAGAAUACACGUCUGUCUUGGAAUAAGGUCCUCAUAUAUAUGCAAUGAGCAUACCAUCAAGAUCUUACAAGUCACUCGAAUGAGGAUCUGAUAACCACGUGAGGAUGGUUACGAGAAUAAAGCCAGUAUACACCGCAGUGUGACAAAGAAUUAUGAGGAUUGACGACAUCAAGGAGCUCAAUACAAGUACCUGUGAGCCUAGAAAAUGAUCCUGACGAGCCCUUGUCCCCUUUUUUCUCCUAUGACGGCACCACGCCUAUGAUCUGAGUUGUUUCUAGCUAUCCGGGGUCGAUGUCAAAUUUUGUUUCUCUCUUCAACAACUGUCACAAGUCUGAGCUGCUUUUCGGCCAUCUCGUAUAGCUGUUGAGUUUCUUUUUGAGACAGUAGCCCUAUAGCUGCUUUUUGGCUAUUUUAGGGAGCUGCCACCUUCUUCUUAUCGACCCGGUCUCAUGCUCUGAGCUGUUUUUCGGCCGUCCUAAGCCGUGGUUGAGUUAUUUCAGUAAUGUCCCAGAUCUGAGUUGUAAAGACCCUUCUGGUGGAUACUGAUUUAUUUGCUGAUUUCUUGCAAGGGUUUCGGAUGAUCAUUUUCCAACGAUCAGAACUUGAGAGGUGUUGAACCUGCCAUUUAAUGGGUUACCCUAUCAAAAAAAUGAGGAUAAACUACAAUUGCCGAAAAAUUGCACCGACAGUACCUAUGGUCAUACGAAGAAGCAAUAUGGCCCAACUUUUUCAGCCAAAGAUCUAGACCAAGAAAACAAUAAUGAAGGAGCAAGACCAGUGAUGCAGGUAUGAAAAUUGUACAUGACCCCCAUGGUGCAGAUUCCCCGGACAGUCUAAGUCUGUAUUGAUCCACAUGGAUAUGCCUACAUCAUGAGUAAUCGGCAUGAGGAAUAUCAGUCUGGAAGCCUGAAUCCUCACUUAUAUGAAUCUUCAUGGAUAGUCUGUCGUGAACAAAAAAAAAUCCGUCAGAACCACCGUCAGUCAAGUCUGCAGAUAUUAUCAUAUAGGACAAACCCUUUAUGCUGGCCGCGACAGGAGACAAUCAAAUAUUUGGUACGGAUCCGAUACUCAUGACAAUGGAACCUGUUAAGAUGAUUCAGAAACUUCUGCGAUGAGUCAGAAGCUGUCAGGAAACAGUUAUGUUUUAACUCACUGUUUGGAACCCAAAGGACCUACAUUUAGUAGAGAAACCCAAUGCAAUGAGUCAGAGCUUGAGUUUUCAUCAUAAAAUUCUGAUCAUCAUUACAUGAAAGGUUGUCAGUGCCGGGUGGCACACCCAGCGGAAAUCACUUUUGGAUUUGUGAGACUGACAUAUAUUUCACUCGUGAUAAUCAAAUCACACUCAGCUAGUCAACAGAUCUAAAAAUAAAUUGGAGCCUAUAUAAGCAUGAGCAAGCUAGGCAAGAUCUGUCAGAAGGUGGAUACAGUGAAUAAAACUACCCAGGGUCAGUCAGAUAAAAAUUUAGUGGGAACAACAAUAAAGGAAAAAGGAUACCCGAGUUGGAAACGGUUUCCUUAAGUCAGAAUAUUCACACUAGUUCCCUGAGCAACCAAAUCUCGAGGACGAGAUUUCUUUAAGGGGGUAAGGUUUGUGACAGCCUGAUUUUUGGCCCUUUCUUUUUCUUUUGUUUUUCUGAGGUUUUGCCUGAGUUUUCUUUUUCCGUGGCUUUGUGGUCUGGAAACUGAAGAAGAUGACCUCUUCUUUGCUUCCAGAGUGGCUUGUCAUUCCCAAAUUCUUCCCUAGACCAUGUCAUUUCCAUCCUAUACCAAAUCCCAAUAUUCUUUUUAUUGAGAAUAUUCCUUUUUCUAUUAAAGGAAUAACUCAAAUUUCCUUAGGUUGUGAAGCAACCUAUAUUUCCCUCACUCCAAAAAUUCCGAAAUAAUUCUCAUAAAUUAUUUGGAUCAUAUCUUGAGCAAAUAUGGCAAAACUUCUCAUUUGCCAUGUUUAUCAUCUUGCUCAAAUAAUCCUUUUCUAUUCUGUCCUGUGUGGCAGGUUGUGAAGGAAGUGUUAUUUUCCUUUGCCCAAUGGACCUCAACAUUUUUGGACGUCUUUUCAUGUUCAAAUAAUUGCCCUGUGCCAAAGCUCAACUUUAUUUACCUAGCCAAUCUUCCUCAGUGAUUUUUCAAAGUUCCUGUCUGAGGGAAUGCAUUGUGAAGGAAGUCCUAGCUAGGAGUAGCCAAAUGAGUUGAACUUUUACACACUCCUUUAUGUGCUCAUAUUAACCCCUUCCACCCAUUUGCAGCCCCAUCCAAUCAUCUAUGUGAGCACAGGAGCAAAUCUUUGAUUCUGGCAUUAUUUUCAGGUUGUGAAGCAAGUAUAUUUUAUAUUGCUUCAAAACUCAUGAUAAAUUAACAGAUCAUUCUUCUACCCUUAAAACUUCUCUCCACCCAAUUUGGCAUCAUUUCAUUAAGCCAUUACCUCUUUAGAAGUUUUCCAAGUUUCUUGUCAGCAGAAAUGUUUGUGAAGCAAGUAGCAUGUUGGCUUUGCCAAAUGGAAUGAUACUUGGGGUGCAUCAUCAUAUGACAAAAUGACUCAGCUUUGCCUAAUAUUAGCCCAAUUGAACACUCCAUGUCUCGCAUCUUGCUGAUCUUCAUUUCUGGACCAAAUAUGCAGUUGUGAAGCAGCUAUGAUUUAUCUUGGGCCAUUUCCCCUCAAAACCUCUAGGAUCAUAGUCCCUCCUUAGCUAAACACCCCAGACAUCUUAUUUGGCCCAUAGCAUAUCCCUGUUGACCACGUUGACCUGAUGAAGUUUACUGCAGUAAACUUCAGAGGGUGAUAACUAUUUAACCAGAGCAUGUUUAACCAAGUUACCACCACAGUUCAAACCUAUCUUGGACGAACUAUCAGCUAGACAAAGUUUUGGGUUCUGUAGAGCAUUGAAUGCCCAUGUUCACGUGGUCACCACACAGCUGGCAUGCCUGUUGGCGCGCUCUGUGCGAUGUGGCGUGUCCAGAGCACUGUUUGUGCUGGACCCCCUCCUCCUCUCGUCGUCUUAGAGCCCGUGAGAAUGUCCAUUGGCUUCCUCUCCUCGUCGUCAUUCCCCUGGACCCCUAUUACCCUCCGGAGGCUUCCUCACAGACGCAAACCGCCGAGUGCCCUCGUGCGUACAGUGAAGGUUUGGAUCCGUUCGUCGUCGUCGUCUUCCUCCCUGCGCCCCCUUGGCCUCCUCUGCCCCGUGAGAUCCCCCACUACCCCUCCUACGUCAUUUGCCCCCGAGAUCAUGCAUGCGAGCACGCGUCCGCGUUGCCGGACACGCAUCUGCGGCGGUGACAACACGACAGCUCCUCCCUGCGGCUAUAUAAGCCCUCCCCGCGCACCCCGAGCUCUCCUCUCGCCUCACCACUCUCCUAGGACCCCGCUCAUGCACUUCCCCGAGCACCAGAGCCCCUCUUCGCCUGUGUUGGCCGCCAUGGCCGCCGCCCCUGUCCACUCCGAUUCCGGUGAACUGAAGCCCCUCUCCUCUGUCUUCCACCUCUAGUAGGUCACCCAACCACCAUAGCCUCUCCCACAGCCCUCCGUUAGUCGCCGGAAUCGCCAUGGCCUCGUCCUCUAUCUUCGGCCGAAGCCCCAUCUACCGUGGCCACGGUCCCGCCCUGCCCGAGUCUCCCUGGCGUUCGUAUGGUGGUGGGACGGGUGCGCCUCGCCGUCCUGAGCACUCCGGCGGUCCAAGCUCCGUCGGGGGUGGCCCGAGUGGUCGGAGCAAGCGCCGGCGCCGGCGGCCUCUCCUCUGCUCUGCGUGCGGCGUCGGGAGAAGGAGAGAGGAAGAAGAGAAGGGAGGAGAGAGAGGGAGUGGAUAAGGUGGGGCCCACCUGUCGGCCCCUCAGCCGUUGACCAGCCCCGGCCCCGCCUUGCCACGCCACUUAAGUGGAAACGUAUUCACUCGAAUACGCUUUCAGUUUUCUGUCCAGGCCCCUGUUUAAAAAUCUUGUCAUUACAGAUGGGUCCCUAGCAGAAAACAUGCUAUAACUUUUUAUCCGUAACUCCAAAUGAGGUGAUUCCAAAGCCUACUUCUUCAUUUCGUAGAGCCUGUUCUAUUGGUUAAAUUCUCACUAUGGUUUAACUCUGUGAAAAUGACCUUUUUGCCUUUACACCUAAACAGCCCCCUCCAAGAGAGAACUAUUUCCGGCAAAUCUUUCUGCGGCUUCACCACACUUCUCCCCGGUGCCUUCUUCAUCCCCAAGCAAGCCACAGUGACAUUUUCAUAGUGCCACUUCAAUAUUUGUGAUUUUUUUACUUGAACUUAUGAAUUUUUAUGCAUUUAAAUUAGUUAUAUAAUGAUUAUAUCUGUUAAAUGCUUGUCAUGUUAAAAAUACUUGAACUAUAGAAUGUUUGAGGUAAAUAUUGUUGAUAAGCUAAAGAGAACUUAGUUGCAAGUGAUGAAUAAAUGAUAUAGUCAUAGAGUUGGAUAAUUAAUUAUAUUAUUAUUUUUGCAUGAUGAAAAGUAAUGAAAUUGCUAGAUAUGAUUCUGGUAUAAGUGAUGUGUGAUCUUAACUAGAGUAAGAACAUGAGUUGAUGAUGGAUCCAUAGGAGCGUGGUUAAUUCAGUUGUUUGCAUGGUUAUGUGGUGCACAUAUUAAGUGAUGCAUAGUAUGGCAUUAUGAGACCGGUUAUUUUCACAUUAAGUUGAACCUGAUUAAUAACUCAACUUGAAUAUGUUGUUGUCCGGGUCAUGGUGCUGCUGAAACGAGUUUUUCCCAGUGCAACCACAUUUGCCGGUAUGGGACGACUUUAAUGAAUUUCAUUGUCAUGCCUCUGGUCAGUGCCUUCAUUUAGGGAAGGUUAUGGGCGUGCUGUACCCUGGCCCGGUAGGCAAGCAUAACCUUGUGAGCCCGUUGUAAGUUAUUUUUUUGGUACCGGAUCCCAGAGUGGAUCGUGGCCACGACGGUGGUCGAGGUGUCUGGAGGUAGACACGGGGCCCCCCAGGACUAGCCCGAUGGGGUCUGAGUCGGAAUGGCUGAGAGAGUGUCAUGACAAUGAAAUGGUUUUGUCGGAACACUGAUGGUCCGCCCGACUGGGAGUGCGAGGCCAUGGGUUCCGUAGUGUGGGUACAGUGUACUAACCUCUGCAGAGUGUUUUUAAUCUAUCGAUAGCGAGUCCAUGGUUACGGACACGCUCGAAAGUAGGAUACACCAUGGGUCAACACUUAAUAAAAUAUGCACACUAAAUUUGUACUGAGGAUGGCAGUGAGGCCAUCGUGUUGAGUUUGGCCAUGAGUUGGUCGGGUUUGUGAUCGCCGUAAGGAUCACGGGCCAAGAGUUGGUCGGGUUCUAAUCGCCGUAAGGAUCAUUGGCCAUGAAUUGGUCGGGUGCUGAUCGCCGAAAGGAUCACACGUGUGUUUUCGAAGUUAUCAUGUUUGUGGUAUGGAAAUGAUCACGUUCGGUAAGAAGUACCAGUUGAGCAUAGUCACAACAUAUUAGACGUAUGGUUGCAUUGUUGCUUAAAUGGUUAAAUAUCCUGAUAUUGUUUGCCAUUAUGUUUAUGCUUAUUGUGAGCUUGCAAGUAUAUUCAAUGUACUGACCUGGCGUGUCAUGCCACUUUGCAGGUCAUGCCGGAUUUGAUUACUUGCUUGUCGUGGUUUCCGUUCGUGCGAGCUAGGAUAAGCGUUCCAGCCAGAGUCCCUGCGGAGUGGAGUUCACCACCGUCGCCGUUGUUCCGCUACUAGAGUUAUUCCGCUGCUUUGAGUUCUUCUGCUGCUUUCAUAGAUCAACUGAGGAUGGCGUAGUGCCGACGUACCGAUGUUAUUAAUUGUAAUAUCGGAGACCUUGUAUUCAUAUUCGUGUAAUAAUAAUAGAAAGCUGGUUUGUUCUAUGCUAAGCAGUGCUGUAUUCCAGAAGACUUCUCCUUGAUCAUUGGGCUGGAAUACGGGGCGUUCCGAUUUCCUCUGAGCAGGGGUGCUACAGGCUUGGUAUUAAAGCAGGUGUGGUUGUAGGACGCCCUAGACCGCGCAAACGUUAAAAAGCAUUACUAUAGACCCCAUUUGGUUUGUUGCACUUGAUUGCUGCAUUUGUUUGUUGCAUAGCAUGCAUUUAGGCUUAGUAUUUGUGAUAACGGUUUAUCUGGUGAGUGUAGCUAGCAUCGAUUCAGAUCCACUACAGCUGAAGCUUUGCAUUUCUCUAGUUCCUUUUUCUUUCGGUGUUUGGUGUCGUUUCUGUCCCAGCAGAGUGAUGCCAAGUGAUCCCGACACUGUUUGCAAAAAUGGUGCUCAGGUAUCGCAUCGAUGUCUUUCUUUUAGUCCUAUCUAUCGUUUCGGUGAUGGACAUGUUUCUAUCCCGGAUCGUUCUUUUUGUCGUGUUGGCAACCCUUAAUGAUCUUAGUUAUCAAGAAAGGGCAAUGUCAGCAGCCUCAGUUUUUCCCCGCUAUCCUAUUUCUUGGACGAGUACAGAUCUUUUUCUGUCCGCUUGAUAAUAAAGUAGUUGCGACCUUCGUGUCCAACUACAUGAUUACCGAGUACGUCCUCGCCUCUAAGCUAGUUCAAGUUGCUACCUGGCUAAGCUAGUACAUGGUGUAGCACUGUUUACACCAAUUCUUCCACACAUUUAUUCGUCCUCGUGCACAUCGCCACAGCAUAUUAGACAACAAUACCGGAGUUUCUGCGAAAUUUGUGUGCUUAGGUGUGCAUGCAUAUUAUUGUGUGAGUAGCAGUAAUAUGUGAUGCUUGCUUGAUUAAUUAUAUUAGUAGAAUGCUUGUGUGCUAUUGUUUUAGUCGUUUCUUUUGUUCCUUUCUUUGGGCCUUCAGUGUUACAAAAUUUUCCCCUAUUAAAGUUGCUCGUCAGCCGACAGUGGACCCGAAGAGUCAGCAAGAAAUGCAUAUAUUUGGAAACUCAGCUAAAUAGAAUGGAAUUAUCAGCUGACUGAAGUGAAAUUGAGAAUAUCUUGUCUGGAUGCAAAAGAAAUCCUGGAUGGACCUUGAGUAUCAAGUUUGCAUUAGCAUGCACUCAUCACAACAAAAUGAUUAAAUCAGCAAGAAGAUAAAUUGUGUGCAAGGUUGAAGAAUAUUAUCAAAGGUAUGGCUCAGAGACAAGUUUAAUUUUUAUUGAGGAUGAUUUUGGAACCCGAUGUACUUGGAAGCAAGCAAAAAUAUGGCAUAUACUCAGAAAGGAGGAUAGUCCAGUAAAACAAUGUUUCAUACAAGAAAUCAACAUCAGAAAUAUUGAGAUGGUAUGUAUAUGUGGAAAUCGGUCCGCAUAUCACAGUAAGAAGUUUAUGGUGUAAGCAACCCACUUUUCCCUCGCAAGAUACCCGAGAGGCUUCCAAGGCAAGAUUCAUCUAUCCUCCUCAGUACGAUACAUGCACGACAUCUCGCGCAAGGUACUCUGCCGUCUACAGUAAGCAACGGUGAAGACUUUUGGCAUAAGGUACCGAGUCUUUCCCCAGCAAUGUCUUUAAGGGGGUAAGCUUCUGAAGCACGAUAUCCAGUCUUCUUCAGCAAGCUGUCUGUUGAAAGUUUCGAGCACAAGCCAGCAAAUAUUCCUUAGUAAGACAUUGGUACAAGGUAGUACGCUGUGAAUUGACAACAUGUGGCAGUGAAUCCCAAGAAUCAGAUCCGCAACAUUUUGGUCAGACUCAAGAAUCAGUCAGAAUACAUGUCUGUCUCGGAAUCAGGUCCUCAUAUAUAUGCAAUAAGCAUAGCAUCAAGAUAUUACAAGUCACUUGGAUGAGGAUCUGAUAACCACGUGAGGAUGGUUACGAGAAUAAAGCCAGUAUACACCGCAGUGUGACAAAGAAUUAUGAGGAUUGACGACAUCAAGGAGCUCAAUACAAGUUGUGAUCGGCCGGCCUCCUCUAGCGGCGGCAUGGUGAACGGCGCUGCGCGGGAGGGCCUCCGAAGGUGGCCGUGGCGACGCGUUCGGAGUCGGCUCAAGCGACCCGAGAGGCGAGGGAGGGCCUCCGAAGGUGUUUUCUCGCUGUGUUCGAGUACGGGGAUAAAGAUGACCUGAUUAGAUUCUAAUCGGUUUAGAUUUUAGAGUUCUAUUCAUAUGUGUCAAGUACUUCCUUGUAUACGUCAAAGUCCAGCAUGCCUUAUAUAAAGCCAUGGCCGAUUGAAAAAAAAAUCAAUCUAUUCAAUAUAAACACAUUACUUUUUAUCAUUUGUUUUUUCUGUAGUUUCUUGCCCUAGCAGCCCAAGGGUUUGGUGAUCUUUCUCGUUUUGCACUGACAAACGGUCAGUUUCCGUCCACGAAAGCGAGGGAUUCUUUAUUGCUUUGCCCGACAAGCAAUUGUUCGUCGUCACGAAAGGAUGACAAAUAUCCUGGUGUUGUGCGGCGAUUUCACGUGCCAACACACUUGGCGACUCCACUGGGGACGAAGAAGAAAUACACACGAUGGACACCGAACCCAACAACGGAAGCGACUUCAACCAGGACAACAUCAUCUCCAUCACGCUCGACGAUCUGUCAGAGGAUGAUCGGCGUGAGCUUGAACAAGAGGUUGAGAAGGAGAUGGCUAAGCGGCUAGAAUUGAAGUUGACUAGAUACUACAAGACAAGGAUCGGCCUCGUCAAGAAGGUACAUGUCACUACUAGGAAAAAGGCUAUAGAUGAAAUGACCACUAAUGGCGCACCAGACAUGUGGUGCGCCACUACUAUAUAGCAGUGGUGCACAAUGUGCUGGUGCACCAUUAGUGUGAAAGACACUAAUGAUGCACCAGACACACGGUGCGCCACUAGUAACAAUUUUUUUUUCCAAACAUACUAAUGGCGCACCAGGGCACAGUGCGCCAUUACUACUUCUAACUAGUAAUGGCGCACCAGCCGCAUAGUGCGUCACUACUAUAUUUUUUUAUUCUUUUUUUGCAAAACUACAAAUGGCGCACCGGGGAAUAGUGCACCAUUACUAGUUUAAACUAGUAAUGGCGCACCGUGUCCCGGUGCACCAUUAGUGUGUAUAUAUAUAUAUAUAUAUAGGGAUUGACUAUUCGUCACCCUGGGUGAGGAAUAGUUAUUCUUCACCCCCUCUAUUUUACCAUCAAUACACCGUAAUUUUACGUUCCGUAAGUUUUGUCUUAUUUCUGAUGUAAAAAGAUACCGUAAAAAAAAUAUGAUCGUCGUAAAAAAUAUUUUAUGUUAUGUAAAAUUACAAAUGUAAAAACAUAGUACAAAAUACACAUAAACUACAUUUUUUCUUGUCUUAUGACCUAUUUUUUUAUUUUCUUAUGCCAAUUUUACGUAGUGGAUCAAUAAAAAUGUAACUAUUUGAAUUCCAAACGUAAUUUAAUUAUGAAAUGAUCAUAAAAUUACCUCGGGUGAAGAAUAACUUAUUCUGCACCCUGUACCAUCAUAGGCCUGACUCCUCGUUUGCCCGUACACAAAUCAAUUUUCACAUCGCGGCCGUCAAACCGCUCCCUCGUCACGAGGAGGAAAAGGCGCUCCCCGUCCUCGGGGGCCACCAGCAGGCGUUGCCGCUCCGUCUGAUGCAUCGUGACGAUGGGGGUCACGGGGCACUUGUGGUCCGCCUUGACGUGGCCGCAGAUCAUCGGUGGAUUGUGCAAUUCCCUUUGAACAAAACAGACAUCGAAGCGCAACUAUUUCACAAACUAAAUUGUUGGCGAAACAAAUUCACCCAACUAACCAUUUUGUGUAGCGUCCGACAGGUCAACGCUGCACUACACUGAGUUGCGCGCGAGCGUGGCGAAAUGAACAAAACAGACAUCGAGGCACAACUAUUUCACAAACUAAACUGUUGGCGAAACAAAUUCACCCAACUAACCCUUUUGUGUAGCGCCCGACAGGUCAACGCUGCACUACACUGAGUUGCGCGCGUGCAUGGCGAAAUGAACAAAACUGACCUUGAGGCGCAACUAUUUCAGAAACCAAGCCGUAGGCGAAAUAAAUCCACCCAACUAACCCUUUUGUGCAGCGCCCGAUAGGUCAGCGNNNNNNNNNNNNNNNNNNNNNNNNNNNNNNNNNNNNNNNNNNNNNNNNNNNNNNNNNNNNNNNNNNNNNNNNNNNNNNNNNNNNNNNNNNNNNNNNNNNNNNNNNNNNNNNNNNNNNNNNNNNNNNNNNNNNNNNNNNNNNNNNNNNNNNNNNNNNNNNNNNNNNNNNNNNNNNNNNNNNNNNNNNNNNNNNNNNNNNNNNNNNNNNNNNNNNNNNNNNNNNNNNNNNNNNNNNNNNNNNNNNNNNNNNNNNNNNNNNNNNNNNNNNNNNNNNNNNNNNNNNNNNNNNNNNNNNNNNNNNNNNNNNACACUGAGUUGCGUGCGAGCAUGGCGAAAUGAACAAAACUGACCUUGAGGCGCAACUAUUUCACAAACUAAACCGUAGGUGAAAUAAAUUCUCCCAACUAACCCUUUUGUGCAGCGCCCGACAUGUCAGUGCUGCACUACACUGAGUAGUGUGCGGGCGCGGCGAAAUGAACAAAACUAACCUCAAGGCGCAACUAUUUCACAAACUAAACCGUAGGCGAAACAAAUUCACCCAACUAACCGCUUUGUGCAGCGCCCGACAGUUUAGCGCUGCACUACACUGAGUAGCGUGCGGGCGCGGCGAAAUGAACAAAACUGACCUCAACGUGCAACUAUUUCACAAACUAAGCUGUAGAGGAAACAAAUUCACUCAGCCAACCCUUCUGUGUAGCGCCCAACAGGUCGGCACUGCACUACGCUGAGUGACGCGCGGGCCCUACACUCCUAGCCAGCGUGGCGGCCCCGGCCCUAUUCUUGGUUGUGCGGUGCCUAGGUGAAAGGAGCCACACUACAUUGUGCAGCGCCUAGCUGAAAGGAGCUGCACCACCUUAUAUUAAAAUCGUUGUAACUUUUAAUCCGUGCAUCCGAUGAAAACGUCCCUUAUAUGAAUGUUGUGCAUUUUUCUAUGUUCUACGCAAUGGGGUAUUUUCAUCUAUGUUGGGAUCAAUUUUCUUGAUGAAAACUCUGUCGCAAAAGUGCAUCAUAAUAUAACUAACAGAAGGUGAACUCGCUCCUCUCUAAACCACCAGAAGCAACUAAUGGCUAGUGUUUAGUUCAUCCGAUCUCGUGGAUGCUUCAUGAAAAACAAUAGUACCGUGCUUUCUAAUUGCUGAAAUAGUACUGUGCUUUCUGCAAGUAAAUUGGGACGGAGGGACUAUGAAACAAGGGUGUGUAGUACAUAUGAUCUCUGCUUUCUAAUUGUAUUUUGAGUACAUACAAAAUGUAUUUCCAAAAGCAAGGGUUUGUUCUCUGCUUUCUUCAGGUGGGAUACCUCUGUUGAAGACAUGACCAGAGUAGGUACGCGGAGCGGAACACAGAACACCCAAUCUUCAGUAUAGUAUACACCCUAAGUUUAAAGCCAAAACGCAAAGCGGUGGGAGGGCAAAGCUUGGCUUUAAAAAAAUCGGUGGGAAGGGGAAAGCUUUGGCUCUGAUAGGGAAGAUUGGUAUUGUUAUACUACUUCAAAUCGCCGUGUUCGACCCCCUGUUCAAGAAUUCAUCCGAUUAACCAGUUAAUUUGCCGAUUAAUCCCUACUCGUAGGGUCACCGAGUAGCCUAUAAACCGAUAAAUCGUCUGAUUAAUUGAUUAAAUGGCCAAUUAACUUGCCGAUUAGCCGAUUAAUCCCCUACUCACCAGCCAACCGAGCAGCUACCAGUUAACAAUUUCCUCAACAAUGGUUCGACUGAAUCGAAAGGAUUGAUUGUAUAAGUACUAACUCCAGUCAUGGUAAAUAAAUACCAUAAUUAUGCCUAGUGAGUUCAUAUAGAAUUCUUAAAAUACUAAAGGCGGAUUGUUGUACUUCAAAUUGUACUAUACUACUUUAAAACAAGGAUCUGGCUGAAGAUGAAUGUAAAACACUAUUGCGGAUCUGGCUGAAAGAUGAAUUAAAAACAUUGUUGCGGAUCUAGCUGAAGAUGAAUGAAAAAUCUAAAACACUUGUUGCUUAUCAUAAACACUUGUCUCGUCUCUCUCAAAUAUAUAAACACAGAAACAAAGUUAGGAAGGUUAUGAUUCUACCUCUUCAGAACCACAUCGAAAAGGCCAUGAAUCAAGAAACAGAAGCCAAAAAGGGGGACGAGAAUCAAAGAGUGGCACAGUCAUCACCUUCGGGGUCGCGCCUGCAGCCGGGGCAGACCAGGAGGGGCCGGUGAAGGGGACAAACCAGCCGGGGUGCUGGGGAGGGCCCGGUGGAUGGAGCAGCCGGGGUGCAGGGGAGGGGGCGGCGAAAGGAGAUGCGAAAAGACGAGCCGUGCCGCAGAGGAGUGGAGGAAGGCGAGGAGAAGGCUGACCAUCUGUGUUAUUAAUAUAUGGGCAGUACUUUGCGCCGGCGCGCCGGCCCAAAUUUGGGCCGGUCAGCCUGCAGCCGUCCGAUAUGUCUGCUAACAACUGUUUGAUUAGAGCCUAAUCUUCAUCCUCGUUCACCUCUCGCCCGCAGAGAAACAACAGAAAAAGUCGACCAACACCGCGAUCGCCCUGGCACAUCUCGCAUGAGGAAAAAAAGGUCCACCUUGCUCACCGCCGGCGACGUCCCCGUCGACGGCCCCAUGGGUUGUUGAGCUCCUACGAAGAUGUCACCCUGGGCCGCCGUGGCCGGUGGCAGCAAACAUUGUGCCCGGUUGUAGCAAAUGAGGAUGCCGGUUCCAGCAAAAAUCUCACCAAAAAGCCAGAAAAUCGUGGCUGCAGGAGAGAUGUCAUGGCUGUCAGUGAGAUGUCGUGGAUGGGUGCAGCAGAACGCCGUGCACGAAGUAGCACCGCUGAUUGUUGCUUCCAACAACCACCAGCUCCCCACCGUCGCCAUUGUAGCUUCUAUGGCACCCCCGCCAUCGCCAUUGUAGCUUCUAUGGCACCCCCGCCAUCGCCAUUGCAGCUCUUUAGUGUCGAUGCGUUGCCAUUGCUGCUCUCCAGCACAUCGUACUCGCCGUGGUCACCGUUGGCAACAUCCAGUGUGCAUGGUUCCAGCUAGCCGCGAUGGCCAUUGUAACAAAAAUCCAGCGAGCCGUGGUCACCAUGGUGGCCGUUGCAGCAUCCCGCAUGCACGGUUCUAGCUGGCUGUGGUGACUGUUGUAACAAAAUUCCAGCAAGCCGUGGUCACCGCGGUGACUGUUGCAUCAUCCCAUGUGCACGAUUCGAGCUAGCCGCGAUCAUCAUUGUAGUGCAAAAAUUGGCUGGUUCCAACACAACUCUCGCAGCGUCGUCGACCGUCGCGUGCAUGUCGCAUCUCUUGUUGACAUCGGUUGUAGCACCAUGGUUCGCUGGACUAGCAAAAAUGGUUGUUGGUUCCAGUAUUUUAGCUGCAUCGUCACACGUCGCCCCCUCCUUGUAGCUUUUUUGCCACUGGUUGCGGCAUGCUCGCCGCCAGUUCCAGCUCCUUAGUUGCCGGUUGCAGCACACCCCUGCUGCAGUCGCACCCCUCCUCCCAUAUACUGGUCGCCAUCUAGCACGGCCCCCGUCGGAGCACACAGCGACUGCGACAGAGGAAGACGACAUGCUACGUGGUGGCGCACGGCAGGCGGCAGGCCGUUCCCGUGUCCACUGUGUGCCAUUGACGUAACUCAUCGCCCCAAAGGCCAUCCUGCAGUCCAGGCGUCGAGGACCUUGCCUGCCAGCAACGGUGGCCUUUGUGGCACACAGGGAAACACGGGGGUGGUGCGGCGCCAUGGCCUGUGAGCUGCUGCGUGUUGGUGGAUUGAUGGCGGAGAGGGAGGGCUACUAGCGAGAGGAGGAAGGGAAAUGAGUGGACCAGGCAGUCGAGAGGGAGGAUAAGGCUGAAUAAAAGCGGUGUCGGGGGUGCGUGACAGCAGAUGGCAUGCGUCCUGCACUCCUCAAUCUCUGGCCCGCGUCCGACCGGCUGAGUUUUCAGCCGGUGCGCCGGCCACAAACGUUUUCCUUAAUAUAUGCUGCUGAGCCCAAGAUCCUCCCCAACGGAAGCUUAGUUUUGUUUUUCCUUUUUCCUUUUUCCUCCAAUAAAUAUAUAUCGCAACGGAUACAUUACCUUGGGGUGGUGGUGCGCAACCCGGAAAAAAAUCUGGACCCACUGGUCCAUCUCAAGCCCUCUCGUCAAUUUUUGAUUUACUUCACGAUUUUGACUGGGUCUCUGUUUUGAAGAAUGGUCAUCCUCUCAAUAAAUUCUAUGACAUAGACAUUACGAGCAUAGUUUUCAUAGCAAUAUUUAAGUAUGUCAAAAUUUUCAGAUUUGUAGAGAGUAAUAUUAUAUUUUUCAAUCAAAGAAGCAACUUCAUAAGCACCCUUAAAAGCAACAAAUGUUUCAAUUUGUUCGAUAUCAUAGUAACUAUAAACACCCUUUUCAUAAGAAGAUAAGAUUUCAUUAUCAUUAAACUCACAUAGGUAGGGAAGGUGUUUUCUAGGGUUCUUGGAGCAACAAGUAAAAUCACAAAUUUCACAAAGAUUCCAAGAAUAGCAUAGCAAACAAUUUAUUUGAUUCCAUAGGAGCUUCCCUUUUCAGACAAACGAUGACGCACAAAAUGAGCAUGCUGAUCUAAAGAUUUUCCCUCAACUAAACUAGUUGGCGUUUCAACACGAGCACAUAUGGAUCGAAGAUGAUCCAGGUAGAAAACUUUGAGUGGAUCCAUAUUAAUAGAUUUUUAGCAAGAAAAGAUGCAAUCAAAAUAGAAGGCAGAUGGAAACACAAGCAAACAUAAGAUUGAAUGAAAGAAGGGUGAAUAAAAAGGCAAAUCUUUUCGAAAAUCAUUUUAGAUGUGGGCGAGAGGAAAACGAGAGGCAAAUGGCGAAUAAUGUAAUGCAAGAGAUGAGAGUUUAUGAUGGGUACUUGGUAUGUCUUGACUUCCCCGGCAAUGACGCCAGAAAUUCUUCCUGCUACUUCUUGAGCUUGCGUUGGUUUUUCCCUUGAAGAGGAAAGGGUGAUGUAGCAAAGUAGAGAUAAGUAUUUCCCUCAGUUAAGAACCAAGGUAUCAAUCCAAUAGGAGAAGUACGCACAAAUCACCAAUACUUGCACAAACAAUCAAACACUUGCACCAACGUGAUAAAGGGGUUGUCAAUCCCUUCACGGUCACUUGCAAAGGUGAGAUCUGAAGCUAAAAUAUUUUUGGGUUUUUUAUUUAUGGAUCUGAAAGUAAAAGAUUGCAAAAUAGUAGAUCGGAAACUAAUAUGAUGGAAAAUAGACCCGGGUGCCAUAGGUUUCACUAGAGGAUUCUCUCUUGAAGGCAAAUAAUACGGUGGGUGAACAAAUUACUAUCGAGCAAUUGAUAGAAAAGUGCAAAGUUAUGACGAUAUCCAAGGUAAUGAUUAUGUAAUAUAGGCAUCACGUCUGUGUCUACUAGAGCGACUCCUGCCUGCAUCCACUACUAUUACUCCAUACAUAGACCAACUCAUGCCUGCAUCUAGAGUAUUAAGUUCAUGAAGAACAGAGUAACACUUUAAGUAAGAUGACAUGAUGUUGAGGAAUAAACUCAAGAAAUAUGAUGUAAAGCCCAUCUUUUUAUCCUCGAUGGCGACAAUACAAUACGUGCCUCACUACCCCUACUUUGUCACUGUGUCAGGACACAGCAAGAUUGAACCCAAAUCUAAGCACCUCUCCCAUUGCAAAAAAAUACCAAUCUAGUUGGCCAAACUAAAUCGAUAGUUAGAAAAGAAAUAAAAAGAUAUCAAAUCAUGCAUGUAAGAAUUCAGAGAAGAUUCAAAUAACAUUCAUAGAUAAGCCGAUCAUAAAUCCACAAUUCAUCGGAUCUCAACAAACACACCGCAAAAUAAGAUUACAUCGGAUAGAUCUCCAAGAACAUCGAAGAGAACAUGGUAUUGAGGCUCAAAGAGAAAGAAGAAGCCAUCUAACAACUAGCUAUGGACCCGUAGGUCUAAGGUAAACUACUCACACUUCACCGGAAGGGCAAUAGAGUUGAUGUAGAAGCCCUCCAUUGAAAAGUGUUUUCGUGGAUGCUUCUGGUGGUUUGGGAAGUUAUAUUAUGAUGCCACCAGCAGGUGCGCCAUUAGUAACCUGGGACCAGCUAGAUAUUUUGGACAGCCACACCUACCCACUCACUUUCCCCACUUCAUUCUCUCCACCUCCUCCUCCAAGCUUGUCUCGGCUACCUCCUCCUCCUCACCUCAUUUGCACCAUAGAUUCAUCCAAAUUAAGUGGUUAAAUUACCUUUUUUUGAUAGGUGAGGGGGAAGCUAUCUUUAUGUUGUUCUCCCUCCAACAAUGUGCACAUGCACUUUUUAUGGCCUAGCUAGAUCUAUGUAUGUUCGUGGUGUUGCAUAUGUUUGUGGUGUUGCAUAUAUGUUUGUGGUUGCAGGUACCGGUAUUUGAAAUGUGAUAGUUGCCAAUAUUUUGCCGGAAUGUUGAUUCAUUUCCGUUUCGGCGAGAAUUUUGGCACUAUGCAUUCUUUUUGUCCUAUUUUAGGGAAAGUCAUGCCAAAUUUUUUCUUGGUUCUAAAAUAUCGUUUUGCUCUACCCCGCAGGCGACCAUGGUCCGCACGAUGACCGAAGGCAUCGUGAAUAGGUUUUUGAGCUCCGCGAAGGCCGAGAUGCUUCAAAAGAAUGAGACAAAGAUAAGAUGUCCGUGUCGAAGAUGCAAGCUAAAGAGCCUUAUUGCGGACCCGGAUUCUGGGUAGGUGCGGGACCACCUGCUCUUGCAUGGUUUCAUGGAUGGCUAUUGGUGGCAAGGUGAUGAAGAUGACUAUGAAGUCGUCCAUGGGGGCCGGGCAAGAAAUGAGGAAGGGCAGCAAGACAACCACCGUGGCUCGGGCGGGCGAGAAGACAAAGAAUCUCCAGGACAUGAUCACGAUGGUGAUGCUGUACACAAUCAUCAUGUAGAAGAUGCAGGACAUGAUGAUGAGGAAGGUGCCGGAGUAGACGAAGGGCAUGAUCAUGAAGAUGAAGAUGCCGGCGGAGCAGACGACAAUGGACCAUCGAUGGGCUGGGUGCAGGACCCUCAUAUUCAAGAGCUGCUUCUCAAGCAGACGGAUAACACAAGAGCUGCCGCCCGAGAGAAAGCCAAGCUGGAUCAACUGGAGAUAGACGCGGUUACUCCAUUGUAUGAAGGAUGCAGGCCCGAGGAUACCCGCCUGAAAGUAACGCUCAUGGCUCUGGAGAUGAAGGUAAAACACAAAAUGACCGACGCAUGCUUCAACGAGAACAUGACAUUCUGGCGCGAACAUCUUCCCAAGGGGAACAAGUGCCCGACCAGUUUCGAGGAGGCGAUGAAAAUCGUGUGUCCUCUGGAUUUACCGCACGUGAAAUACCAUGUGAGCAUGAACAAUUGCAUCAUUUAUCGGGACGAGCACACGGAGUCUACCAUAUGUCUGGUGUGCAGCGUCACUCGAUACAAGAAGAGGAAGAAAGCUCCUCAAAAAGUGGUGUGGUACUUUCUGAUCACUCCUCGUCUGCAGCGGUAUUUCGCGGGCCCUAAGGUAGCAAAGCUCCUGCGUUGGCACGCGGAUAGGGAGGAGAAGAAGCCAGAAGAUGACGCAAAUGAUUCGGAGAUAAAUAAAAAAGACAAGAUGCUGAGUCACCCUAGGGAUGGGAGCCAGUGGCAAGCGUUGAACUUCGAACACCCAGAAUUUGGGAAUGAUCCAAGGAACAUCGUGUUGGGUGCGAGCCCCGAUGGAGUCAAUCUGUUUGGCAGCCAGAGAAGCACACAUAGCACCUGACAUGUGUUUGUGUGGAUGUACAACCUUCCCCCUGGUUGUGCAUGAAGAGGAAGUACAUUCGCAUGAGUAUGCUAAUUGAAGGGCCGAAACAACCAGGGAACGACAUCAAUCUGUAUCUGGGGCUGCUGAAAGAGGAGCUAGACACGCUGUGGAAAAUGCCAGCCAAUACGUGGGACGCCGCACAAAAAGAAUAUUUCCCUAUGAGAGCCGCACUGCUCACGAUGGUGCAUGACUAUCUCGGUUACGGAUAUGUCGCGGGGCAGGUGGUCCACGAAUUUUCUGGAUGUGUUAGGCGCAUGGAUUACACAACGUAUCGCCAGCUAGAUAGAUCGGGUCUUUGAAAACCGUGUUCAUGGGACAUCGAAGGUGGCUUCGCGACGAUGACCCGUGGAGGAAACGCAAGGAUCUGUUCGAUGGUGAAACCAAACCCCGAAGACGCCCGCAUACGAGGCGCAGCGAGGAAAUAGAUGAGCUGUUGAAAAAUUGGAAAGAUUGCCCACUACCGGGAAAGAAGCAAAAGGCGCCAGAGCCGGGAAAGAAGCAAAAGGUGCCAGAGCCGCUGCUGAAGGUAUGGAAAACGAGGUCUAUUUUCUGGGACUUGUCGUACUGGAAGAUCCACCGUGUGCCUCAUAGCCUUGAUGUCAUGCAUAUCACGAAGAAUGUGUGCGAGAGUCUGCUUGGUACCCUGCUCAACAUGCCAGAGAGGACCAAAGAUGGGCCGAAAGCAAGGGCAGACUUGAAAUCAAUGGGCAUCAGGGAGGAGCUUCACGCUAAUGAUGAUGAUGAUGAGCCGAAGCAGGACACGGAAAGUCGUCGCAAAGGCAAAAAGGCCAAGAAGACCGGAAAUGACUACCCUCCCGCGUGCUUCACUCUAAGUCAGGAGGAGAUCGAUCAGUUUUUCAGCUGCCUCGUAGGAGUAAAACUUCCUUACGGUUACGCGGGGAAGAUAAGCAGAUACCUAGACCCAGCGAAGCAGAAGUUCAGCGGGAUGAAGUCUCACGACUGUCACGUGCUGAUGACGCAGAUACUUCCAGUUGCAAUCCGUUGGAUCAUGGACGCGCACGUCUGUGAAACGCUAUUUGGCUUAUGCAACUUUUUCGACGUCAUCUCUCGAAAGUCGGUUGGCGUGAGGCAACUUAGAAGGCUACAGGAAGAGAUCGUGGUGAUACUAUGCGAGCUUGAGAUGUACUUCCCGCCCGCAUUCUUCGACGUUAUGGUGCAUCUGCUGGUCCAUAUCGUGGAGGAUAUCAUCCAACUCGGGCCGACGUUCCUGCACAGCAUGAUGCCGUUCCAAAGGAUGAAUGGUGUCAUCAAAGGAUACGUUUGCAACAUGUCACGUCCAGAGGGAAGCAUAGCCAGGGGCUUUCUGACCGAAGAGUGUAUCUACUACUGCACGAAUUAUCUAGGCAUCGAGAACCCCGUUGGUCUGCCCGUCAACAGGCACCUCAGUAGGCUCGCUGUAUGGGGUCACCGUGAGGGUCGCCGCGAAAUGCAUGUCGACUUCAAGGGUCGACUCGCUGACUUUGAAAGAGCAAACCUAGUCGCGCUACAACACAUAGACGUGGUCGAUCCUUGGGUGGUAGAGCACAAAACCUUUAUUGAGAAGACAUACAAUGACCGAGGCCAAUAGAGGACGGACGAAGAUAUAAUCAAAGAGCACAACUCAUGUUUCACGCAUUGGUUCAAGCAAAAGCUUCUGUCAUACCCUUUACAUGAGGAUUCUUCCGCGGAAGAACAACUCAUAUUCGCCUUGUCACAGGGCGCCGAGCACAACCUGAUGACGUAUGAGGUGUACGAUAUCAACGGCUACACAUUCUACACCGAGGGAAAGGACAUGAAAAGCGAUGGUUAUCAGAAUUCCGGGGUAACGAUGGAAUCCUACACCGGUAAUGACAAGGACAGAUACUACGGAAGGAUCGAGGAGAUCUGGGAGCUGAGCUACGCUUGAGAGAAGGUCCCGAUGUUCCGUGUCAGAUGGGCCAAGAGCGUCAUAAAAGAAGACCGGUAUUUCACCAUCAUGGUUAUACCCGAAGCCAAAUCCAAGACUGCGGGCGCAAACGUCACCGCGGAAAAUGAGCCAUGGGUACUGGCUUCCCAAGUGGACCAAUGCUUCUUCAUUACCGACCCGCCAAAGCCCAGUCGUGUUGUCGUGAGGAGAGGCAAAAUGAAGAUCAUCGGAAUGGAUGGAGUCGCCAAUGAGCAAGACUUCGACAAGUACGACGACCCGAAGAUGGAACAUGACGACGACGAUGAAGUAUCAGCAUACACCACAAGAAGAAGCAGGACCACCCUACCUAAAGGACGUCCUUUCAAGAGAAGAACUCCAUUUACAAAAAAUAAGGGCAAGAAGAUUGUGAACAGAUAACUAGCUAAGAUCGAUUGUAUUUAAAUUGUAGCCUUCAUUUCUCGAUUAUUGUAUUUCAUGGGCACUUUUUGAACUCAUGAAUAUUUUUAAAUUUCAUGGGCACUUUUUGAAUUCAUGAAUAUUUUUCAAAUUUGAUGAUAUUUUUUCAUAUUCAAUAUGAAAAAAUAUUGAAUAUUCAUGAGGACACUCGAUCUCGAUCCCCCUCCAUCUUGAUCUAUAUCCCCCUCCAUCUCGAUCGCUAUCCCCCUCCAUCUCGAUCUCGAUGCCCCCCGCACCCUCCCCCGCUCCACCGCCGCCGCCGACCCCCCGCACCCUCCCCGGCCCGCUCCACCGUCGCCGAGCACCGGCCGCACCCUCCCCUGCUCNNNNNNNNNNNNNNNNNNNNNNNNNNNNNNNNNNNNNNNNNNNNNNNNNNNNNNNNNNNNNNNNNNNNNNNNNNNNNNNNNNNNNNNNNNNNNNNNNNNNNNNNNNNNNNNNNNNNNNNNNNNNNNNNNNNNNNNNNNNNNNNNNNNNNNNNNNNNNNNNNNNNNNNNNNNNNNNNNNNNNNNNNNNNNNNNNNNNNNNNNNNNNNNNNNNNNNNNNNNNNNNNNNNNNNNNNNNNNNNNNNNNNNNNNNNNNNNNNNNNNNNNNNNNNNNNNNNNNNNNNNNNNNNNNNNNNNNNNNNNNNNNNNNNNNNNNNNNNNNNNNNNNNNNNNNNNNNNNNNNNNNNNNNNNNNNNNNNNNNNNNNNNNNNNNNNNNNNNNNNNNNNNNNNNNNNNNNNNNNNNNNNNNNNNNNNNNNNNNNNNNNNNNNNNNNNNNNNNNNNNNNNNNNNNNNNCUGCCUUGCGCCGCCUCCCCGCAUCGGCCCCUGCCCUACGCCGCCGCCGACCCCGUCCCCAACCCCGACCCCGACGGCGACCGGCCGCGCCUGCCCAGGUACCUCUCCUCCUUCCUCCUUCCUCCCUCUCCACCCUUCCUCCCCAUUCCCUCCCUCCCUCCCCUUCCGCCGCGCCCUCCACCUCCCCUCCGCCCUCCUCCCCGCCGUCAGCCCCGCCCCGCCCUCGAUUCUAGUAGGCUUGCUCGGGUGCUGGUGUUCUUGCCAGGAUUAGUAAAUGGGACCUUGUAGGAUGUUAACCGUCGGUGUGUCUGUCAAAACUAAAAACCCAACGGUUAUGACUGAAUUUCCAAACUAGCUUGUAGUAGUAGAAUGCUAGUGGAGUCGCUCUUACUAUGCGUCUCAAAACUGAAUAUGGUUUUCCAUGAGGUUAUCGAGGAGCUGCCGGCCUGUUUUCAUUCUGGUGGGGAGAACCGGGGAACUGGAAUGCUUGUUUGGCUGACCUCUUACAAUGCAGUAGAUGAUCUUUUUUUCGGCCUGCAUUGCGCUCCGCUGCUAUGAACUUUUGAUAGGCCGCGCGACGGAAGCCACUUCAAGCUAUUGUGUGUUUCUCUGAAUGUUGUGUUUCUUCAGUUCUUUAUCCAUUCUUUGUUCCUGCUGAAUGUCAUGCUAAUUUAGUUUGUUUUGUUUUGCACAUCGGUAGGCAAAGCCUAGUGUUUGUUUCAGACAUUUACUGAAACUGAACCAAGGAAAUUUGGAUUUCAUUGUUACAGUUGCAGGAAAAGGUCAUAUUAUGAGUGAAAUAUAUUUAAAAUGUCUAUUUAGUUCUGUUUUCAGAUAUAACCUUGUAAGUAGAAACAUGUAUAACUCAAGUAAACCAUACAUCUAGUUAAUAUUGCACAGGCAGCAAUGUUAAGUCUUACUAUGAACCUAGCAAUAAAAAUGAUGAAGCUCCUGUCAAUUUUUGACAUAUCUUAAGUUCUUAACAAGACAUGUUUGUCGUCUUUUAGCUAGUGUGAUGAGAUUUUGGUACCUGUACAUUCCUUGUACCAACUUAGGCAAAUAAUAAUUUAUUUGUUUUUGUGACAAUUGGUUGAGCACAUCUUCUAGCCUCUUGUGAAUACAUCUGGGACAACGCUUCACACCAGUCAGGUAUAUACUGCUUCAGUUUCGAGUGAAAUCCUCUACCAUAGCCCCUGCCCCAGAUGAAGUGAGCUAUAUAUCUGUAUGAUGAUCCUCCUUUCCUAAAAGUGAGAUUGCCAUAUGUAGUUCAGAACUGACCUAGCUAAGGUUGUUUUCCUACUGAACAAUGAUAUUCCAGUUUGUUCCUCACCCACAUGCUCCCAUGUUAUUGUUAUCGAAAAUAAAAUUGCUCCAUGAAAAUGUGUAAGCUUUAUAUGGCAGAAGGUUGUGCAUUUACUGAAUCAUCAUUUCUUGCACAUGGACGAUUUGGUUGUCCAUGAUUAGGGAUGGACCUCAUAUGUCCUCUGCUAUUGUUGAACAUGUUGUAAUCAAUUACAACUCCUACAGAAGAAUCUGUAAUUUUGACAGGUAUGAGAUAUAUUUUGGUCAAUGCUGCAUGAUGCGUGUGUGGUUGAUGGUCACAUGCUAGCUUAGGUUGUUUUGCUAUAGAAUGGCAUUUAUUUCAGUUUGUACCUCAUCAUGCCCCUUCCCAAUGUCCAUCGUCGAGUAGUUUGCUGGUUUUGUUGAAAAAGAAAAGAAAAGCAAACUGGUUGUGUCCUUCUCACAGGCCCAUAUAGAGAAUUGUGAUUAUCAAUUUACUGAUUUUUGUUCAAAUUUUAUCAUGCCUCUUUUGAGAAGUAUGUCUAUUGAUUCAAAAUUGCCAUGGCAAAAAUAUGUUUCAGAAAAUGACAUGGACUAAAAUGUUCUAUAGAUCAUGAUCCAUAGACAAAAAAAAUGCCAAGAUCCAUACAGUAUAAAUUCCAUGAUGCAUAGGCUAUAUUUGCCAUGGAAGAUGGCAAUUUUGUUGGAUCAUGAUCCAGAUAUUAAAAAAAUGCAUAGACUAUAAUUUCCUGGCAUGAUCCAUAGGAUAAAAAUGUAGAAUAAAAAAUGCCAUGAUCCAUACACUAUAAUUUCCAUGAUGCAUAGACUAUAUUUGCCAUGGCCCGGUGCAAAAGAAAUUUGCCAUGUUGCAAAAAGAAAAGAAAUUUGCCAUGGUGCAUAUAGUGAAAACAAUGCCACGAUCUGUAAAAUACAUUUGUCAUGCUCCAUGAAAGUAAAUUUCCAUGGUCCAAAUGUACCAGAAGUUUCAAGUAGUGUUUUGUUUCUGUGUUUGAAUAGGCAGCAAACUUUCUAUUCUUUCUGUGUUUGUACAGACUUGCUAAACUAUUGAUGAUUUUUUGUUGGGUGUCCUAUUAGAUCUGGAAUGGAAGCUCACAUAAGUUGAGCUGAUUUUUGUCCAUAUGAAAGCAGAGGACCAUAUGGUCUGUGGCCUUUUCAUCCAUAUGAAAGUAGAGGCACAUUGUGGUGCUACUUUGCUGGGUUUUGUCUCCGACCUUCGUGUCAUGAUGAUUUUGUAGGUACCCCGAGAGGCCCUUGAGUUUGCCGGAAUGUCGAUUAACUUACGUUCUGGUAAAUUCGGGUACUCCACAUGUCCUAUUUUCAGCAAAGGUCAUGCUGCAAUUUUCCGUGAAUUUUAGCAUGACUUUGCUAAAAAUAGCACAUAUGGGGUACUUGCGACUAAUGCAUGGGUCGGGGUAUCUUAGUACUUAAUUAAGUAGGAUCAACUGCCCCGCCAUUCUUGCUGCAUUAAACCAUAUAUGGCAAUAGAGCCAAGUGAUUAGGCCCAACCUAAAUGAUGAAACCUUGGCUUUUAUAGGGUGCCUCGGUGUCGAUGAGAACCUAAAUGAUGUACGCUUAGGCUUUUAGGGUGCCUCGGCGUCGACAAACCCUAAAUGAUAAAAGCUUAGCUUUUAGGAUGCCUCGGUGUCGACAAACCCUAAAUGAUGAGACCAUGAUCUUGUUCCUUGACAAUAACCAACUUUUUGACCAAACUUUUUUCCUAUUUAGAGCGACACAUGGCCCACAAUGAUGAGGCCGGCGGUUCGGGCGGCAAGCAAUUCUGGGAGCUGUCCCAGGAGAUGGAGGAAGAACCUCACCGCUACGAGGAUGCCGCGGACGACACCGAUCCUGACUACACAACCCCUAGUGGCGUCGGGGAUGACAUCACUGAUGGUGCCGCCGAGGAUGCCACCACUGAUGAUGGCGGCGCACACACAGAUGGCAGCCAACCGAAGAGGCAAUGGAAGGACCGACGCCCGAGCGUGCUCGGCACCAUCAAGGAGGAAUUUACUGAAGUGAACUCCGCCGGGCAUGCAACGGCGCCCAAAUAAUUAGUCAAGGGGUAAUCGGUUCAGCUCGGGUGCAUUCUCCGGAGCACCGUCUCGAUCAACACCGAGAACCUAAGGCAUAAGGACCAAGGGAAUUUGCGCAGCCUCCUCUUCACGAAGCUGCACGAACGAUACAAGUUCCCCGCUGACUUUGCAAACACACGCCUCUCAGCGAAUAAAGUGAACAAUGCCGCCCUCACAAGGAUGAGCACGGACCUGUCUACUUGGAGAAGCACGGUGAAGGCAAUGAUUGAAAAAGGUGAUAGUUAUGAGAAGAUCAAGGCAAAAUAUCCUUUGAUCAGCGAAGAUGACUACAAGGAGUUCAAGAUCAAGUGCGAGAGCAGCGCAACCUCCGAAUCAAGUCAGUGGGGGAAAGAAAUGCGGCAGUUGAACUUAGGGGUCCACCAACUCGGUCCCGGCGGUUACAGAGUGGCGGAGCCUAUAUGGGACAAGGAGGACGUAGAGCGUGCCGUGCAAGGCCUAUCGCCCCGCUUCGAGAAAUACCGUGACAAGCAGACUAGGAACUUUGUCAGGGCCCGGUACAAGGAGGACCCGGUAACAAAGGAGCUUACCACGGAUCUGAAGACCAGGGCGCUUGAGCUUGUUCUGGUAAGGAAUACACCCUCGCGUAAUUAGCUCCAUAUGGUUGCAUUCUAAUUAAUCCCCAAUAUUUCUAAAUGGUUCAUGUUCCUUCCGCAGGACACUGAAAGCAGUAGCGCGGGGUCGUCUCAGAGCUCCCCUUUCGACACCCCUUUAAAUAGGGCGUUGAACGUAAUGAAAAACAAGGAUAAGCUCAGUAAGCCGUCGUUAGCUGGUCGUGUGGCCGGCAAAGGCUUGUGCACAAAAUGGUCAUCAUACUAUACCGCUGGUGGGCAAAAGGAGAAAAAGACCAGCUCGGAAAGCCAGUCGCGCGAGGUUGAAGCACUCAAGGCACAAGUGGCGCGGAUUCCGGAGAUUAUCCAAGAGCAAGUGCAACAAUAACUGGGAACGACGCUCACCGCCAUGGUGCCUACGUUGAUUUAGGGGCUGACGACAUGGAUUGCGGGCAGCCAAUAGGGGCCUCCCCCGGUUCCCAGCUUCAUGGCCAGCAACUCGCACAACUCGCAGGAGGCGCCAUUGGUGUCUCAGGCGGCACCAUUGGUGUCUCCGGUGAAGGCGGUAUUCAUGUCUCCAGCGCCGGCACGGGCAUUGGAGCUUAAUGCACCCGGGUGUACGCCAGCCGACACCUCGCCAGCAAGCGGCCCCUCCGUCAGUUGCACGCCCGCCGUUGGCGGUGCCUCGACAUUAGCCGAGCUCGACGGCAUCACGGUAACUAAGCCUCUCGGCCGAUGACUUCAUCUCCUUGCCUUUGACUGGGCAUCCCUGACGCCCUACAUGUUUUCGCAGGGCGCCACCGACGUUCCUUGCACUCUCCUGCACUUCGUGGGCGGCGAGUUGGUUGAUGUCGCGAAGGGAAGAAUGGUUCAACCAGGCAACCCCGUGUUCCACGGUAGUCCGAUGCCACCCACAGUGUAUAGGGUUGAACUGGUUCAGGUGCUGCCAGGCUGCGACGAGUUGUUACCUCCGAUUCGACCCGCUGGGGCCGAGGAAGAAGAUAAGAUGACCCUCAGCGCCUGCGUAAACUGGCCCCUGCUUUGGCCGAAGAGCCAGAUUCGUUUGGGGGCGGGGGACACCACCCCACAGACAAGACCACCAGUCGUGCCGGUGCCAAGCCAUGGCAAGAAAGCCACAACGCUACCGGACAUGCCGAACAUCCCUAUGGCACAGGAUCCAGACAUGCAUAUGGCACAGGUUCCGGACGACGAUGACAACGACGAUGGUACAUUUACCAACGUCGAUAAGUACUUUGCCGAACAUGGGUACUGUGAUGAGUUCUGCGGGCCUCCUUCUCAAGAACCCAACCAAGACGACCGCGAUCUAGCUGGUACCACGGGGAAACCUAAUUGCAAUAGGCGUCGUCUGGCAUUUAGUUCUCAGGAGACGCCUCCAGCUGCCGCCUUCACCGAGCCUCAGAUAGCCGAGGUGCGAAAUAUUAUCAGCCCCAACACGCUCAAGAAGGUGGUCUGUGAGAAGAACUCGAUCCCAUUACAACAGAUCAAGAAGAAGGGACGAAAACGAAAGACUAACAAGGGCGCCGGUGCGAGCCAGCCGGCACCGAGUACGAUCCGUGCUCAGGACGGGCCACCUUCACCUAAGGAUAUCUCGAAGAGGGUGCAUGUGGCGGGUAGGUCGAUGCUACCGACAAAUAUGCUCAAUGUUGCAACCGGUGCUAUGCGGAGUCUGCAUGAUAGUGUUCUUUCUUUGGAGAAGAGGCAUCUCUCCCAGAAUGAUGUGGCAUACCCGGUUUUUGUGUCCAAGGUGCCAGAGGGCAAGGGCUUUGUGGAUGGCGCCAUCGGGGGUACGACCGUCCUGCGGUUUGAUGACAUCUUUGCUAUGUUUAACCUUCAUCCGCUGCACUACACCUUCGUUCGGCUGUUUUCGCUGAGUAUGGAGAUGCGGAUCAUUCAAGACAAGACCCCGUACAUCAUGAUAGUCGAACCCUUCUACAUGCGUGCCAAUAUCUUGGGCAGCGCUAGGGACCGGCAAGUCACGAGUUCACAGCUCGAAGGCGUCAUUCUAGCAAACCCAGAUAAGGAUAACUUCCUCGUGCCUUACUUUCCCGAGUAAUUCAUCCCCUCACCGCCCCGUAACAUAUUAUUUCUUAGAUUUCGAUCGUUCUUUUUUUUUUCUAACAUUCCGUGUUCUGUGCAGUGACACACAUUGCACACUCAUCCUCUUAAGCCCGAAAUAUUCCAUGGCCAUGUAUUUUGACCCGGACCGUGACUCCAAGAUAGACUACACAAAUAUCAAGAAAGUUUUUGAUGAUGCUCUCCCCGGCUACGCCACAUCUGGAGGCACCUUUAAGAGGCCAGUUCAUAGGUACGGCAGGCACGUGUUCACCCACAAUACGACGUUCCCCUGCGUUAAGCAGCCGCCUAGCAGUCAGAAGGAUGCCUACUACGCCCUCCAUCACAUGUGGGCGAUCGUACGGGACCAUAAUCACCUUCUGCUACCAAAUAAUCUCAAAGAUUGGGCCGCAAGCUUGGCGGCAAUCCAGGACGCGGACCUCCGACAAGAAUUCUUUCGCAUCCAGACGGAGUUUGCAGAAAUCAUCCAUCAAGAUGUCCUUCGUGCCUCGGGGCAGUUCUACCUUAGAGAUCAACCGUCCAAUAGUGAGAUAGACACAAUGCUACAAAUGCAGGCUGACAACGCCCACGACUUCAUGACCAUCACGAAAGAUGGCGGCUUCGUCCAUGCUCCGGUCCCAUGAGUCGAGUCGAAAGUAGUGAUGCUAUUUGUAGUUCUGAAACAUCGAUUAGCUCAUGUUGUAAUUAAACUUUAAUGAACUUGUAUGUCUCUUUGGUUUGGACAGUCGUUCAACUUAGAUGUAAUCGAUGCUAUUUAUUAGUAGGACCAUGAAUCGUGCUAUUAAUGUCUUGCUUUUCUCUUCCGAUCCUUUUGUUGCAUGCUUAUAUAUUGCUUAUGUAUUGUCUGUUGUUUGGCUUGUGCAUAGAGAUGUCGUCGUAUGUCGUGUACAAGGGUAAGGUUCCCGGAGUCUACGGCGACUGGGAGGAGUGUCGGAGACAGGUUCACCGUUUCAGCGGUAACAAUUACAAAGGGUACACCACUAGGGCGGAGGCGGAAUCUAGAUACACGCGCUAUCUAGCGAGAGAGAGGAGGGAGCGUUGGAGGAACCGGAUGAAGACUAGUUUCAUCGCGAUGAUGCUCAUCGUGAUGACCGCGGCUCUCUUCUAUGUGAUGGUAGUUUAGAUGAUCGAUCUCGACUUGUAAUGUGAAGACAAACUCGCUACUCGCGGUCUCGAGACUUGUAAUGUUCUAUCUUUGUUCGGUCUUUUGAAUUCGGAGACUAAUAUGAUGAAUUGUAUUCGGAGACUAAUCUUCUAUUGUAUUCGAUGAAUCUGUUGUUGCUGUGUGGUGCUGUCUAUAUUCUGUCCAAUAAUAUAUUUUGUAACCUGUGCAAAAAUCAGAAAAGUAAAAAAAAAUCCUAAUAUUCAUAAUAAUGGCACAUCACCCCAAAGUGCGCCAUUAGUAUGCCAAAGGAUACUAAUGGUGCAUCACUCCACAGUGCGUCAUUAGUAUGCCAAAGCACAUGGGUAAAUAUGGCCCCCUGGUAGGCAUACUAAUGGCGCAUGUUGGUCUAUACUAAUGGCGCACGAUGUGGUGCGUCAUUAGUAUACCAGAUACUAAUGGCGCACCAGUGGUGCGCCAUUACUAUUUAAUACUAGUGGCGUGGUACUAGUGGCGCACCGGUAGUGCGCCAUUAGUAGGCAAAACUGGUGCGUCACUAGUAGGCCUUUUCCUAGUAGUGUGUGCGAACCCUUCCGAUUCGAUCAACACCGAAGUAAAAUAAUCAACUUAAAAAAUUUCUCAUCUAAUUGAUGUGUGUGUAACUAAUAAGUACGAUUAUGAUGUGAAAGCUAUGACACACACAAGUACUCAAUUGUAGCUAAUAGAAUUGAAGAAUUUAAGGAGCGGCUUCUUAAAGAUCUUGAAAGUAAUUUACCUAGUCAUGUUUGUUCAUUAGUGCUGCAAAACGUUGAGUAUCCUGAGUAAAGGCCGAUGGAGAAUAGUGGCUUCAUUAACUUUCCUAGUAAUAUUCAUACAGCUGAUGCAUCAGCUAAUAACGUUGUGCAGCCCCAUGUCCCUUUAAGUAGCGAUUAAGGUGGCAAGAACUAUGUGAGCAGUUCAGCUAAUAAUUUUAUGCCUAGCAUAGUUGCUUCUAUUGUCUCAACUUCAGUUCCACAAAAUCACAACAGCAAUAACCGAAGUGCUAGUUUUAAUUCUAGCUUGCACCAACCUAUUUAUUAGGAAAUAGCUAUAAUAUACCACCGCUACUGUCUGUCGAUACCGGCAUUCUGUACUGGCCGAUAAUCGAUUCAUAUUUUAGUGGUUCUUCGUUGCAAGAAUCACAUGCUCAAAUUUCUUUGUCAGGGUUUCGACCACAUGCUAGCACUCCAUCUGCUUCACAAACCAAUUCUCUACAGCUGAAUGAUAGUUUUAAGGAUAAGCUUGAUAAUAUACUUAGAGAAUAGGUUUAGAACCUAAGGGUAAAGCAUGUGUAUAUAAAAAAAUCAUACCCUAAUUACUUCAAUUUGAUGGCAUAUCCUCGUGGUUUUACUAUUCCAGAUUUUUUUACGUUUACAGGGGGAGAUGGUAGAUCCACUUCUGAGCAUGUCGAACAAUUUUUAGCCCAAUGUUGUGAUAUUGGCACAUCAGAUGUUUAUAGGAUAAAUUAUUUUUGUUCCCUUUGUCCGGUACUGCAUUUACUUGGUUUACAUCGCUUGCUCCUAAUUCUAUUUCAACAUGGGCGCAACUUGGGCAAAACUUUCAUGAGUAUUUUUAUUGUGGUGAAACUGAACUUCAACUUUCAGAUUUAACUAUGGUUAGGCAGAAAUAUAAUGAGCAUGUUUAUGAUUAUAUUAAGAGGUUUAGAGAUGUCAAAAACCAAUAUUUUAGCUUGACCAUAGCCGGAAAGGAUUUAGCCGAUCUUGCCUUUUCGGGCCUGCUUGCUCAUAUUAAGGAUAAAUUAGAAGGACACAAAUUUUUAGAUGUUGUUCAAGUUUUGCAAAAAGCUUUGGCGCUGGAAAACCGGACUAAGGAGAUUAAAUAAUAUAGCCGGUUUAAACAUAAUACUGAUAAUGAGAAGGAUAACCAUGUAGGUAAGGCCUUAGAUUAUGAUAGUAAUUCGGCUAGUGUAGAUGACGUUAAUAUAUGUGUAGCCGAAUAGGUUCAAGUGCCAAAGUCAAAACCUUUUGCAUGUUCUGCUUUGAAACCCACACAUAGUAGAAGAGACGAAAUUAAAUACACUUUUGAUGUUAGCAAGUGUGAUAGAAUUUUUGAUAUGUUACUACAAAAUAAAUUAAUUAGAGUGAGAGAGGGACAUGUAAUUCCACCUCCAGAAGAAUUGGGUAGAAGGGCUUAUUGUAAGUGGCACACUUCUUUUUCUCAUUAUACUAAUAAUUGUAAUGUAACGUAUUUCAUCGACCGGUGCAAUCAACCAUUAAUGAAGGACGAUUGACUUUUAAAAAAGUUUCUAAGAUGAAGCUCAAUAGUGACCCUUUUCCUAUCAAUGUGGUCAAGCUUGAGAGUAAGAAAAUUCUUAUUCGGUCGGAUCAGACGGAGUAUGCACUAGAAAAAAUGUUGUUGAUGAUAGUGCUCCUCCAAGGAUGAUCAAACAAAAAAAAUUCAAAAAUAGGAGUCUGGAAAGUCAAUGAAACGGGACAAGCUCCAAGGCCAAAGCCGACAGUUAGCAUGUUGUUGGAAAAAUAUACCUCACGCAAGGCCAACAAUGUGUUUAACCGGCUCGGAGGUAAUAAGCGUGCUAGAUCUCGUUCUGGAUCUAACAUUCAUGAGCUAUGGCAAAGAAAUUCAUAUGACCAGCAAUCAUAUUUUGCAAUGGAGCCGACAUAUUGGGGUUGUGCACCUCCUAUGUAUCCGCAAUCUCCUACACGGGGUUUAAUCCUUGGGCUCCAUAUUCUACAGGGCCAGCAUGCUAUUUUCUGCCGGGAUGGAUUCCGCCGAGGCCUAUGUUCAGACCGGAGAUGCACGAGAAAAGGGCUCAGUUCAAUGAGGAGGCUAGAUCACAUAACGCCAUUGAGAUUCCAGCAAGUCGAUCACAAGUGCAAUGCAUAUGGAAAAAACUAUAAAAGUGACCACAAUCGCUAUGGGUGCCGGUGAAGCGUGCAGAACUGAAACCAACAAAAAGUUCAGAUGAUUUAAAUGUUGCUCAUGGUCCGAAAAUUGGGUAAUGCCAGUUAGGUGAAGGUGUUGCCAAUAGUACACAAACUAGCAGUAAUGUUCAAUCAGAACCGGUCCCAAAGGAGGCCAUUGAUACAGACGAGAAUAGUAAUGGUGCGAAGCUGCCGCAAACUGGUCGGUCUAAUCAAUCUUUUCAGACUAAUUUGAGUCAUAGCAUGCAAGCAUAUGGUCAGACAAGGCAUUUGUUGUAUCCUCACGUGCUAGUCAAAAUUAUAAAUCGGCAAGUUCACAUGCUAAUUUAAUCACGGGGAGUUGUUAUCCAUGAACGUCCAAAGGUUUCAAGUCUAGCGCUAGUACAUCUACAUGUUGGGGUUCAAGCAACGGACAUAGCCAGAAAUUUAAAGCUAGCCGUGCAUAUAAUCAUCAGAGAAUUUUUCGGCCAGGGAAAUACCUCAGUACAGGUUGAAGGACCCGCGGGGGAGGGGAGGAGGGGUAGAAUUAAGUCAGUCGCGCCAGGAACUAAACCGGUACUUUGGUGGUGCCCAAUGGGACAUACAAACACUCAGAAGCGCCGUGUACAGAGACUGCGUGCAUUGGAAACAAAGGAAGGAACAGCCGAGAAGAAGUGCGAUGAAUGGUUCGAUAAAGAUAAACCAAUGGUGCUGAUAAAAACUUGGAAGGAGAAGCGCAUUGCGGCGGAGGAAAAUGAAAAUACUGAUGACACGAUUGCUGCUGAAAAUUCAGAGAAUGAUAGAGAUGUACCAACAGAUAUGGAUGUUAAUAUGGUGUUCGCGUUGCCCACUGAAUUUCAUGCUCCCGAGGCUGAAGUUGUUGAGCUUAUUCUUGGUCUAAAAAAUGCUACAUUUGAGAAACCGAAGAAGCACGAACAACACCUAAAGCCAUUUUUUAUCAGGGGUAUCAUUGAUGUGGGAGAAGUUAACAAAACCUCUCAUGAAAAAGACUUGGCGAUAUAUCAUUCCAAGUAUCGCCAUAAGCAAAUUUGGCCGGUAUACUAUUUGAUAUAUCGCCCAGAGAAAAUUUGGCCAAUCUGCUCUUUGGACAUCGCCCUAGGCUAUAUGGCCAGUGAGGUUAUCCACAUCGAGAUAUUUAAUAAUGUUUUUCGGGAAUACAAUUGUAUCAAAAACAAGAAGGCAUGUGUUUAUGACAUAAUUUGGCUACUAGGUUUUUUAUGUGCCAAAUUAAUUAAAUGACCAUGGUUAGAUUACUGGUUGAUAAAUAAAUUUUCCCUUUAUGUUUAAUUCAAAUACAGGGCUAGAUCAUAGUACAGUACAUACGCUGUAGCGGUCCUGGGGCAUGAGCAAUGAAGUCAUGGACAUGAAGGUGCAACAACACAAGGAUAAUUUAAUCAUUAUUAUCUGGUGUGAUAGCCACAUGUCUGAAAUAUUUUAUUAUUGAUAAGGCAAAGAGUGUAUAUGGCCAGAAAAUGUAGCCAUGCAGGUUAGAUGAAUGAUUCAAAACGUCAAAGUACUAUACAUGAUAGCCCAAUUAAGAUGACAUGAUUAGAUAUUAAUCGGUUUAGAUUUUAGAGUUCUAUUCGUAUACGCCAAGUACUGCCUUGUAUAGGUUAAAGUCCAGCGUGCCUUAUAUAUAAAGCCACGGCCGAUUGAAGAAAAAAACCAACAAUCGAUCUAUUCAAUACAAACACAUUACUUUUAAUCGCUCGUUUCUUUUCAUAGUUUCUUCCUGCCGUGCCUGGCAGCCCGAGGGCUUGGUGAUCUUUGUUGUUUUGCAUCGAAAAACGGUCGGUUUUUCUCCAUGAAAUCGAGGGAUUCUUUGUUGCUUUGCCCGGAAAGUAAUCGUUCGUCGUCACGAAAGCACGACAAAUAUCCUGGUGUUGUGCGGCGAUUUCACGUGCCAACAACACCAAUCACCGAGAAAAAAAUAUGCCCUCGCCUCCUUUUUUUUCCGAUGAGGAACGUUUUUAUUAACUCAAAAUGUUGCCCUCACCUCCUGCUGUCCAUGAAGCUUUCUUUGAGUUCUCCAUCUGACAUUGAUCACGAUUCCAAAGGCUGUGUGCCAUUUGGUUGUGUCCAUGCCAGGAGCUGCAUUAGGCUUCAGACAAAACUCCACAGUGCACUCACUAUCCCAAACUGCAUCUAAGGAGUAGAAUGAAGUUUCCGGAAAACUUCGAUCACAAAACCAUGUUACAGUGCAUAGGCUGUUGCCAUUUGGUUUUGUCCUUGCCAAGACCUGCACUAUUCUUCAGAGAAACUCGACAGUGCAGCGCACAUCAGUGAAGCUUUGAUCAAAACCAUCAGGUUCAUUCAUGACAAAAGGGGUGAUCAUUCAGUUUCCCAGACAAAGAAAUGAGACGGACAACGAAACUUUGCAUUGAACUCUGAAAGAUGAACACCAUGGGCAGGCGUUUAUUCAAGGCAACAAAUGCGGCUCGCAGGAACAAGCAAGCACUGCACGACCAGACCAAAUGAAAACUACGGUAGACAAAUCAUAACGCAGCUGACACUUCACCCUCCCGCUGAAUGCGCCUCUUCACGCCUCGACGCACCAAUGGAACUGCAGCAGCCUGGAUUCAAGAAAAAACAUACAACAACAAAAAACAGAAGUGAGAAUUGUGCGGAAAUGGACGCUGAUAUACAUUGCUCUCGGAUAGUCAGAGAACUUGCCAAGCUGCAGUACUUCAGGGCGUAGAACAUCUCCAGGUAACGGCGAGUCUCGCGUCUCUCCAGGUUGCUCACGUACUUCCAGAAUCCAUACACACCGGUCAGAGUCAUCAGCCUCUCUGAGUACAGCUUCCAGGCGUACCUGAUCAUUCCAAAAAUAUAGGAUCAGUAUUUGUUCAGAGACGGUACUUUAGUUGGAACUAUUUGGCAUGACUAUAACAGAAUACAUACUUCUCAUAAAUUCUCUUCAGGCCUCCUCCUUCAGACAUUUUUUCCCAGUAGCUUGGAUCCACACCUUUUUGCACUCUCAAAGAAGUUGACCAAGAUAUCAGCCUUGUCUGUAUGGCAAGGAUCGAUGUGCAGAUCAGACACGCCAUCCAGGAUUAUUUCAGCAAGGCCACCAUGGUAUGUCUCAAUUGUCGGCAAACCACAUGUCGUGGCCUCAAUGACAGUCAGGCCAAAAGCUUCAUAAAACGCGGGCUAGAGACAAUUGAAAUAAGGGUUUACUCUAGUGCAAACUCAAGGCUGUUCUUUCCAAAUGUUGAUUACAAUAGAAUAUGAAAUGGCAUGGUGUAUACGUGCACAAAUGCUCCCUUGGUAUCACUCGCAUAUGUAGCGGUAUAGCUCACCAUUGCGAACACGGCUCAUCUGAGCUGAGAUCCACUUGAUAUGGCCCUUCAGAUUGUACUCGUCAAUGAGCCUGUACAGUACAUCCUCUUGAACUCAAACCUAUUCCUCCCUAGUCCGAGUCCCUAUCCUUUGCAAUGAACCAAAACUCGUUCAGUUUAACUUGACGUUAAUUCCACAUUGCUAAGAUUCUGGAGCAUCGGCAAAUGGUCUUCAGUGACCGUACUUCCUUGCCUGACGACUGGUACGUAGAAGUGGCAUACUUGUAGUGAUGCCGUCCUCUUUCACUGGAAAGGAACAAUAGCAUCAGGCCAACCAACCAAAUCCCAGGAUCAUUGUAAACUAAGUGCUCGUUACAUGGCUGUUGCAUUUCCUAAUACCUCCCACUCCCAGCGUCUUCGAUGUAGUGCAGUUUACACUGGCCGUCCAGUUUCACAUGUAAUACGAAAUAAACUUUGAGUUGACUUGUGCACUAGCGCUAUUAAUCCACUAUACUCGUUGCAAAGAAAAUAAUCUGUAUAUUAGCCACCUUUCCUCGCUCUCAAUUCUGAAGCUUUAUUUGAGAUCUCCAAGAGUGUCCCUUCCCUCCCAUUUAUAAACAAGACUAACUUAUCAACUUUAUUUCCAUUUAUUACUUUGAAAUAAUAUGAUGCAAAGGCUGCAACAAUAUAUACCUGGCAUUUGUGUGCGCACCAUGCCAAUAUAUAACUGGUUGUUAGUUGUUGCUGUGGCGCAGGGCAACCAUUGAUGAGAUGUUGGUACAGCAGUUACUGGAAGCGAGGUGGGGGUGUUUUGUCUUCCAGCAAAAUCUCCUCUGGCCGGCUAGUUUUGUGUUAGUGGGUUGUUAGAGAACACAAGGUCUAGUCUAUUGGCUAGAUUAGGCAGCAACAACGUUUCCUUUGGUUCUGCUUUAGGGGUGAUUGCCCCAGGUUUGCCUUUGGUUAGACAACAACAUUGGCGUGCGAGCGGGCAAUUCCUUCUUAAAGGUAUUGUCUGGAGUUGUGCGCCCUUUGAGUGGCACACGUCGCUCGAAUGGUACAUUAUGGUCCAGGGUCAUAGGGUUUGAGGAGAUGUUACGACAAGGUAGGUCCAAUGGGCAUGGUCUCUAGUUUUCCUUUCUUUUACUAUAAGCCGAUUUAUUGGGCAUCAAAGCUUGGCAUUGUUUGAUAUUGUUUCAAGCAAUUCAUGAUUUAUUUUAGUAGUAUGCAUUAAUCAAUGCAGAGGCCAAGAAUUAAACUCCUUUUUAAAAAGAAUGCAAAAUAGGGGCAAAAAUGGCUACCAACGAAAUUUUGUCAUUGAGAUCAAGUCUAGGUAUACAUCAUCUAACUCUCGACAUGAUUUUGUAGUAAUAUAACUGUAACUAAAUUGAUUGGAAAAAACUUGAGUGUAUCACAACAUUAGAUAACAAGACACUAAAACAAUCAAAGGAAAAAACAAUAAUAUGUGGCACAUACAAAAAGAAUAAGGGUGCCUCUAUUUGCAUAUGGACAUAACAUUAUAGAAUUUUUACUUGUUUGUUUUGGCCAAACUGUACAAUAGAUCAGCUUGAAACUUUAAGGUCAAAAUAAAUUAGUACUACAAUGUGUAAAACUGAUUUCAGAAAUUUCUAAAAUGAUAGGAUUGCACCUGAUACUAGAAAUGCCUUCUUUCAACAACUAGAGUGUUUGUGUAAACCAUUGAUCAUGCUUGCAAUAGUUUCACUUCUUGUAAUCGUUAUCACAAGUUAGGCAACUAAAAUGAUGAACACAAUGGAGUGCAUUUAUUUGAGGAAACAUUUAUGCAGAAAGUAAGAACCAGAAAGCACUACACAAACCUUGCAUAAGUCCAAGACGAAAAAGUACAAACCUCACGACAGACCAACUACGAUAAACUAUGAAAACAUAGCCGACACUUUUUUAAAGACUGCAUAGCAACACUUGACUUAUAAAGGCUGCCACUCUUCAUGCCCCGCAUCAGUGAUGGAGCUAGCCCGUGCGUGGACCAUAGACAAAACAAAAAGGCAUGUCGUUGAUGGGCAUUUGGCCAGUAAAAUGGAGGAUCAAUUCUUCAUCUCCCGCUAUAAUGUACUGAAAGUUUUUGGGCAGAGCCUGGGCAUCUGCUCACGGUCGUCGGGAGGUGACUCCGCCAGUGCCCCACAUAGUUAGUUGUCAGAAUUGUGGUUGUCGAUAGACAAAGGAACAACCAUGGGCCACCUCUGGAUUCAACAUAAUAAUGCAAAUUAUAAGCAAAGCAUGUUAAAAUGGAUAUUAAUAGUCAUUGUUCAUUGAAAAUUAAAUAACUUAUCAAGUUGUGGUAACUUAGAGUAUCGAACAUCGAGUAGGCGUUGCCACCUUGGGAUUUUAGUUCUUGUUGUUCUUUACGAAAUAGAAAUAUGCAAUGCAAAUUAUUGAAAAUUGGGAUUGUUGUAGUGGAUACCUCAAUAUGGAUUUCUUGUAAUCUUAAAAUUCUGAAAUUGGAUUCCAACUUCUUUUUAAGAUCUUAUGAUCAAUAUCAUGAAUAUUACUUUAAAUUAAAAUUAGUAUUUUAAAUUUUGCAAUAUUCUUCAUCAGCUCCAGCAAUGAGCACUAGUAGAAAAGAGGGCUUUGGUCCACCCCGGUUUAGCCCAUUAGUCCCGGUUCAGUCUGGAACCGGGACUAAUGGGGGCAUUAGUCCUGGUUCGUGCGCCCAGGGGCCACGUGGGCCAUUUGUCCCGGUUCAUCUGGACCUUUUAGUCUCGGUUGGUGCCACGAACCGGGACUAAAGGGUGCGAUGCCCAUUAGUCCCGGUUCGUGGCACCAACCGGGACUAAAGGGUUAGACCACUGGUGGAAAAAAGGUCUUUGGUCGCGGUUCGCAACUGCCAUUAGUCGCGGUUGCGCAACCGCGACCAAAUAAGCGCGACUAAAGCCCCCCACCUUUAGUCGCGGCUGCUUAAGAACCGCGACUAACGGCCCGUCCACGUGGGCGCCAGGCGGCCGUCGGGGCGGAGGACCUUUAGUCGCGGUUCUUCUGGCCAACCGCGACUAAAGGCCGCCACAGGUUUAGGGUUUUAGCCCCCCCCCCUAAACCUGUUUUCUGUUUAAUUUGUAUUGUUUUAUUUCUUUUGUGCUUUAUUUUAAUUUUGAAGGAGUUUCAUAUAUUCUACGGUACUAUUAGAACCAAAAAGAAUUCAAGAGGAAUAUACAAUAUAUAUUCAAUAUCAUCGGAUGACCAUAUACAAUUUUGAACAAGUUUCCAUACAUGAUUUAAUGCAUAUAAAGUUCUACGUCCUCGUAAUAGUGUUCUCCUUUAGGAUGGAGGACUUCCCUGCUGAACCAUCCAGCUAGUUCCUCUUGAAGUGGUCGGAAGCGAGCUUCUGGACUAAGCAUCCACCGGAGGUUAUUCCUCUGAGCAUUGGUAUCACUCGGAACCCGCUCAGAGGUGUAUCUCCGGAUCAUCUCACAGACAUAGUAUCCACAUAGAUUGGUCUCCGGUGGCUGAAUAUCCCCAGCAUUCUUAGCCUUUAACAUUUUGAAUUCUAGCUCUUUUUUGAAUUCACCGACCUUUGUAUCUACGAACCGUCUCCAAACCCUACGAGGCAAAGAAAAUUAAAUGAACAAGAGAGUUAUUAAUUAGUUACUUGAUAUUAGGAAAUGAACGAAAUAGGGCGAUCGAUAUAGAGCGCAAAUGAAUGAAAAUAAUUACUUCUGCAGCAUUCUUCUCAUGCCGCCCCAAAGCUUUGGAUCCAUAUUCACAGAGUCGUGGACGAGACAUUCUGAGGUGUUAACUUUAAUUACUAGCAGAAUCCAGUGGAACCUGCGGACACGAUACAUGCACAGUACGUCAUGCAUAACUCAUCGAUUAGCCGGCCACAUACCAUGCAUGGAGUAAACAAAAGAGAAUGUGCUCAAGACAGAAACACUCACUCAAAAUGGUAAGGAAAUAGAAUAUCACUUUUGAGUUCCUGCUUUGUAAGAAACUGCCACAGGUCUGCCUCCACGUCGGCGGGGUAACGCUCCAACACAUGUCCAUUAACGAUGUGUGGGUCAAUGAACCCAACAUCAUGGAUGUUCCUUACUCUGCAUUCCUUAAUCUUCAUUCUGCAUGUAUAAUAGCGGACACAACAAUAUAGUUAGGACAUAUAUAUAGUGCAGGUAAUAUGAACGAGAUGGGGUAGAAAUUAAUAAAUCACUUACAGAACGUAGCAACUGAUGAUAGAUUUAUCGAGCUCGCGCAGAUUGAAAAGCUGGAACAAUUCACUCAGUUCAAUUUGUACAUAGUAAUGUUUGAAGUGAUGCUCAUGUCUAACUUCCGCAUAAAUAUAUUCUUUGGCGUUUUUAUUUUUUAUGUAACCCUUGUACCAUUUCAGCAGACCUUUCAUUUGUGGAGGUAGAUCCUUUUCCUGCGCAGGCUCGACGAGAGGCCCAUUCUUGACAUAUGUAAUUACUACCUCCUUCACUGGCGCCUCAUCAAGGCCUAACAGUUCACGAAGAGUAAUACCUAAGUUGGCCGCUUGUUCUCUGGCACUCGUUACAGUCAAUCCCUGUGCUGCCGCAGCUUGUAUGAUCUCGGGGGCAUCCGGACAGAAGGCUUCCACUAUAAGCGGGGCAAUCGAUUGUUUACUUUGUUUCCCGAGCUGGGCAACUUGUUUCCCGCUUUUUUUACUUUCGGCCUUCUCCCGCUCUUUGUUCUCCUUGAACAUGAGUGCCUGCCUGCGAAGUUCACGUGCAUAGUCGUUAGGCAGAUUCUUCGCGGCUUGGGACGGUGUGCUCAAAAAUGACUUAGCCCACUUCUUUUGCUCAUCAGAAAAUACUGGCUUGCGCUCGGGCUCUCUUUUCUUCUUGCAGUCCGCCUUCCAUUUCUCCAAAUCAGCAGCCGCGGUCGCGUCGACUUCCUCGGCACUACGUUCCCAAGGCCUUGUGGGGAGAGGCUUCAGUGAUGGCUCCGGUACCUUUGUGGUCUUAGGUACAUAAGGGUCCGGGUUAAUAAUCCAGGACUGCUUCUGCUUCUUUGCCGGAGGUGGAUUGGGGGGCGGCGUCUGAUCACCCGCCGGAUGAGGACUGGGGGGCGGCGGCUGAUCACCCGCCGGACGUUGUGGACUGGGGGGCGGCGUCGGCUGACGUGACGGAGGUGUAGGUGAACCGCCGCCACCACCACCACCACCACCACCGCCACCGCCACCACCACCACCGUAGGGGGGUGGACUUGUUGUCCUUGGCGCCUCUCCUGGAAACUUGAUAAACUUCUUUUGCCAUAGAAUGAAAUGGCGCUUGACAUCUCCAAGUCUUUUCUCCCCUUCAGGUGUAGCAAUGUCAAUCUCCAGGUCCUCAAACCCUUGGACUAUGUCCUCCACCGUGACACGAGCAUAGCCAUCUUGAAUGGGGUUGUUGUGGUGGAGUGCUCCAGGUAAACAUGGUAAAGCACUGCCGAUGGCUACCUUCAUGGACAUGUUCCCGAUAGGAUAAUACAGAUGACAUUCUUUCAUCUCCUUUAUAUCGUCCACGGGGUAGCGAGGAGGCUCCGGUGAAGUAAUUUCGACCACCAGAGGCUCCGGUGCAGUAAUUUGGACCACCAGAGGCUCCGGUGCAGUAAUUUCGAUCGUCGGUGCAUCUGCACCAGCCGGUGGGGCCUCCGUGGAAGCCACGCUACUUCUCAGCUGCUGGCUUCCGAGAUCCGCUGGAUGAUCUUCAUGCUGCACCCGAGCUGCAUCUCUUUCGGCUACUAGUACACUCAUGGUUUUCUUCAUCACAUCCAUUUCCGAUGCCAACCGCGCCACAACAUCUGCUUCCCGAUCCAUCUUUCUCUUACGGCUUCUGUAACCGUAUGGGUCAUCGUUCUGGGGGAACCCUAUUUUCCACGGAAUGUGCCCCAUGCCUCGUACACGUCCUCCGUGUUCAGGAUUCCCGAGGGCUUUUGUCAGCGCGUCGUUCUCUCUGUUGAACUUGAUCUUCCCCUGUUGAGCAUCCCUCAUUGCGUUAAUAAGGGAUUGGGUGGGUUUAAUUAAUUUGCCCCGGUAAACACACUCCCCUGUCUCCGGGUUCAGCGUUCCCCCAUGCCCGUACCACCAGCUUUUGGCCCUUGGGUCCCAUCCCUCCGUACCUGGAUGGAUUCCUCGCGCCCUCAGCUCGUUCUCCAUCUUCUCCAACCUAGGCACCCAAAUGCGAUACCCUCCUGGCCCCAUAACAUGAUUGUACUCCUUCUUAGCCGCAUUUUCCUUAUUUUUUUUUGAUAUUUGAAUGAACUGCUCCGAUUUCUUUUGCUUCACAAAUUCUGGCCAAUCAUGUUUCAGUUUCUCAUAUUGUCCUUUGAAAUCCGGAGUCUUGUUCUGCUUGACAAAGUCAUGGGCUAGAUUUUGCUUGAAUUUCCGGAAUGCGUCGGCCAUCUUAUGAAGAGCGAACUGUUUGACUAGCCUCCUCCUCUCCUUGUUUUCCUCAAUCUUGUUACCCUCCUCAUCGAAUUUGUUGUAUUCCGGAGGUAGAACGAAAUGUUCCAUAAGCUUCUUGAAGCAAUCUUUUUUUGUUCUCUUAUCGACAAAAGUGAAACCAUCAAUUCGUGCCUUCUUUGGCUCAUUCCACUCCUGGACGGUGAUCGAGACGUUGUCUCUAACAAUGGCUCCGCAUUGGCUGACAAACUUGGUGGCGUUCUUGCGGGGCUCCAGCGGCCUGCCGGUUGCACUGUCGACAACCUCGAUGGUGCAUGUUUCUCCUUGUUUCAUCGUCUUGGUUGCGCCACGCUUUGACGACGUACUCGAUUGUUUCGACGAUCUGGCCGAGGGCUAAAAUAAGAAAGAGUCGCGCGCGUUAGUACACACAUAUUUAUUCAAAUCAGUUAGUUUGUAUCACCAGAGGCUCAAUGUAUAUAUAUACCUCGGUGCCGGAGGUGGUUGCUACUUCCAUUUGAAGAUCGUCGUUUAUCGACGUUUGUUCGGCAUCAUCUUGCUGACGGCGCCCUUCAUCUUCACCGUCAAGGUUCAGAUAAGAAGAGAUAUCAUCUUCUUCUUCUCCGGUCGGCACAUAUAGAAUAUCGCCGUUUAUGAUGCCGAACAUAUGUGCUUCACCGUUCGGAUCAUAGUUGUCCAUAAUCGGGUCAGCUCUAUCGUCCGCCAUUAUGUCAGUCCUGAAAACAUGUAGUAAAAACAAAUUAAUUAAGUGAAGAAGGGGGGCGGUGGCGGUGGCGGUGGCGAAAGGGCGGUGGCAAAAGGAGGGGGCGAGGAAGGGGUGGGAGAGGGUGUCGCGGUAGAGCGCGAGACGGGGCGGCAGACGACGGCGUCACGGAGAGGGAGGAAAUUCCAAUUUGUCAUGUCGCGAACCCAAAAUGGGCCGGCCCAGGUGAGCUACGUCCUGUGAGACGCGUCGACUUUUUGAUGCAAAGAGCGUCACACAGGGCUGGAUAUGACGCUGUCUGCGUCAAACUGUCGAGCGAACGCACCUACGAGGGUUCCCAACCCUUUUUUUAUUUUCAUUUCUUUUCCUUUCUUUUUCUGUUUCGUUUUUCUUUUCUUUUUUUGUUUAUUGUUCUUUUUCUUUUUCUUUUUAAAAAAUGUUCUCCUUUUAAAAAAUGUUCUAUUUUUCAAAAAUGUUCAUAUUUUCAAAAAAUGUUCGAUUUUCACAAAUUUGUUCGUGUUUUCAAAUUUUGUUCCGGAGUUUCAGAAAAUUGUUUGUGUUUUCAAUUUUUUUUGCCGGCUGUAGCCAACUAUCCAUUCGUCCUGCAAGGAAGGGGAACAGGGGACGAGGUGGGAGAAGCUCACGGCGAGGAGGGACUCCUUGGCGGAGAGGCGCUCCGUCUCGCGGGCGUAGCUGGUAGCGGGCUCCCACGCCUGUGCGUACACGUCGUCCCGCCGGGGACGGACGGGUGGCGGCCUGGAUGAGCAGCGGGACAGACGGGCGGCGGCCCGGAUGAGCAGCGCGGCGGCCGGGGUCGGACAGGCGGCGGCCUGGAUGAGCAGCACGGCGGCCGGGACGGACGGUCGGCGGCCCGGAUGAGCAGUGCGGUGGGCGAGGGCGACGGCGGGCGGCGUCGAGGGCGAGGGCGACGGCGGGCGGCGUCGAGGGCGCGGCAGAGACGAACAGGCGGGAAUCGGAGAAGACGAGAAUCGGACCUCGUAUUUAUAGCCCCCCCCCUUUAGUCGCGGGUUGCCUGCCCAACCGCGACUAAAGGGUUUUUGGCAGGUUUUUUGCGUUCCCGCGCCCCCACCUUUAGUCGCGGUUGGUCUGGCCAACCGCGACUAAAGGGUAACCUUUAGUCGCGGGUCUCGUCGCCAACCGCGACUAAAGGCCGCCGCAGGUUUAGGGUUUCACCCCCCCCCCAAACCUGUUUUCUGUUUAAUUUGUAUUGUUUUCUUUUUAAUUUGUAUUGUUUUCUGUUUAAUUUGUAUUGUUUUCUUUUUAAUUUUUAUUGUUUUCUGUUUAAUUUCAUGUAUCAUCAGUGGUAUCUCGAAUCAUUCGAAAAUGGACACCAAACACAUCACGGGUAAUAUAAUUCACAUGAUCCAUUCAACAAAGUUUGCUACAAUAAAUUAUUACACAUCAUUUCUUCCCUUGUGUCCCUGCUUGCUUACGAUUGUGCCGUAUCCAUGGAGCAUCCUCAUCAUUUAACUUAAUGCUUGGGUCGGUGUUCACUUUGAAGGGCGGAAUUUCAGCAAACAUAUUAUAAUCUUCUGACAUGUCUGUCUUGUCCUCCACUCCCACGAUGUUUCUUUUCCCUGAAAGAACAAUGUGGCGCUUUGGAUCAUCGCAUGAUGUACGGAUCGUUUUCUUAUCUUUCCGUUUCCUCGGUUUGCUACUCAUGUCCUUCACAUAGAAAACCUGAGCGACAUCUUUCGCUAGGACGAAUGGUUCGUCAAGGUAACCAAGAUUGUUGAAAUCCACCAUUGUCAUUCCGUAUUGCUGGUCCACCUUUACCCCACCUCCUGUUAGCUUGAACCAUUUGCACCGGAACAAAGGGACCUUAAAGGAGGGUCCAUAGUCAAGUUCCCAUAUCUCCUCUAUGUAACCAUAAUAUGUGACCUUUUGCCCAUUCUCGGUUGCUGCAUCAAAGCGGACACCACUGUUUUGGUUGGUGCUCUUUUUAUCUUGGGCGACCGUGUAAAAUGUAUUCCCAUUUAUCUCGUACCCUUGGAAAGUCGUUAUAGUCGAAGAUGGUGUCUUGGCCAACAUGUACAGCUGAUCUACAACAUCAUUGUCAUUCAUUAAAUGUUUUCUCAACCAACUGCCGAAAGUCUCCAUGUGGGCCUUCCUAAUCCAGGAUUCAGGCUUCCCCGGGUUGUCCGAGCGUAAAAUAUUCUUGUGUUUCUCAAAGUACGGAGCCACCAAGCUGGAAUUGGUCAGUACAGUGUGGUGUGCUUCAGUCAGAGAAUGGCCGUCCAUACAUAUCGUUGAUUUCCUUCCGAUCGUGCCUUUUCCACUUAGUCUCCCCUCGUGCCGCGAUCGAGGAAGACCAAUCGGCUUAAGGUCAGGAACAAAGUCAACACAAAACUCAAUUACCUCCUCAUUUCCAUAGCCCUUGGCGAUGCUUCCUUCUGGCCUAGCACGGUUACGAACGUAUUUCUUUAAUACUCCCAUGAACCUCUCGAAGGGGAACAUAUUGUGUAGAAAUACAGGACCGAGAACGAAAAUCUCUUCGACUAGGUGAACCAGGAGGUGCGUCAUAAUAUUGAAGAAGGAUGGCGGGAACACCAACUCGAAACUGACAAUACAUUGGAUCACAUCGUUCUGUAACCGUGGUAGAACUUCUGGAUUGAUUACCUUCUGAGAGAUUGCAUUGAGGAAUGCACAUAGCUUCACAAUGGCUACUCGAACAUUUUCCGGCAGGAGCCCCCUCAAAGCAAUCGGAAGCAAUUGCGUCAUAAUCACGUGGCAGCCGUGAGACUUCAGGUUUUGGAACUUUUUCUCCGCCAUGUUUAUUAUUCCCUUUAUAUUGGACGAGAAUCCAGACGGGACCUUCAUACUGCUCAGGCAUUCAAAAAAGAUGACCUUCUCUUCUUUGGUCAGAGCGUAGCUGGCACGACCUUGAAACCAUUCCGGAUGCCGGUCAUCAGGGUCUUUCAAACGUUGUUGGUCCUGCCGUGCUUCCUUUGUAUCAUUUGUCUUCCCAUACACGCCCAAGAAGCUUAGGAGGUUCACGCAAAUAUUCUUCGUAACGUGCAUCACGUCGAUUGCAGAGCGGACAUCUAGGACUUUCCAAUAUUCUAGCUCCCAGAAUAUAGAUUUCUUCUUCCACAUGGCUGCGUGCCCGUCAGCUCCCUUCAGAACUGAUUGUCCGCCAGGACCCUUUCCAAAGAUGACUUUCAAAUCCUUGACCAUAUCAAAUACCUCAGCACCAGUGCGUUCCGCAGGCUUCGGCCGGUGAUCUGCCUUGCCGUUGUAAUGCUUGCCUUUCUUUCUUACUGGAUGAAUUUUCGGAAGAAAUCGACGAUGCCCAAGGUACACGUUCUUCUUACAAUUUGGCAAAUGUACACUUUCAGUCUCAUGUAAGCAGUGCGUGCAUGCAUUGUAUCCCUUAUUUGACAGUCCCGAAAGGUUACUAAGAGCAGGCCAAUCGUUGAUGGUUACGAAAAGCAACGCUCGUAGGUCAAAUUCCUCUUGUUUGUGCUCAUCCCACACACGGACACCACCCCACAGCUGUAAAAGUUCAUCAACUAAUGGCCUUAGGUACACAUCGAUGUCGUUGCCGGGUUGCUUCGGACCUUCGAUGAGCGCUGGCAUCAUAAUGAACUUCCGCUUCAUGCACAACCAAGGAGGAAGGUUGUAGAUGCAUAGAGUCACGGGCCAGGUGCUAUGGCUGGAGCUCUGCUCGCCAAAAGGAUUCAUGCCAUCCGUACUUAGAGCAAAUCUUAUGUUCCUUGCGUCAGCUGCAAAAUCUUUGAACCAUCUGUCGAUCUUUCUCCAUUGCGUUCCAUCUGCGGUGUGUCUCAACUCCCCGUCCGACUUACGGUCCUCUUUGUGCCAUCGCAACAACUUGGCAUGCUCUUUGUUCCUGAACAGACGUUUCAACCGUGGUAUUAUAGGAGCAUACCACAUCACCUUGGCGGGAACCCUCUUCCUGGGUUUCUGGCCCUCAACAUCGUCACCAGGGUCAUCGCCUCUGAUCUUAUAACGCAAUGCAGUGCAUAUCGGGCAUUCAUUCAAAUUCUCGUAUUCACCGCGGUAGAGGAUGCAGUCGUUGAUGCAUGCAUGUAUCUUCAGAACCUCUAAACCUAGAGGGCAGACAACCUUCUUUGCUUCGUACGUACUGGCGGGCAACUCGUUAUCCUUUGGAAACAUAUUCUUCAACAUUUUCAGCAAGUUUUCAAAUGCCGAGUGAGCUACACCUGCCUCUGCCUUCCAUUUCAGCAAAUCCAGUGUGCAGCCCAGCUUUUUCAGACCAUCAUCGCAUCCGGGGUACAGCGCCUUUCUGUGAUCCUCUAACAUGCGAUCCAAAUUCUCCCUCUCCUUUUCAGUUUCGCAGCGUCUCCGUGCAUCAGCAAUGGUCCGACCAAGAUCAUCAACGGUAUCAUCACCGUGCCUCUUCUUCACCUUCCCCUUCACCUUCAGCAUCCUCCAUGAAAGUAUCACCGAAAUGAGCAAGAUAGCUUUCAUCGAUGAAAUCAUCCCCUUCUUCAUCUUCUUCCAUUAUAACCCCUCUUUCUCCAUGCUUGGUCCAACAAUUAUAGCUUGGCAUGAAACCGUGCCGAAGCAGAUGCAUGUGAACAUCUCUUGAGGAAGAGUAACCCUUCUGAUUCUUACAGAUAACACAUGGACAGAUAACAAAACCCCCCUGCUUGUUCGCAUUAGCCACUACGAGGAAAUCUUUCAAACCCGUAGUGAACUCGCCGGAGAGUCGGUUACCGUACAUCCAUUGCCGAUUCAUCUGCAUUAUUAUAAUAUAAAAUAUAUAAUUAACCAUCAUGCAUUUGUUAAACUAACUAGCUACAAACAAUAUAAAUUAAACAAUGAACUGCACACAUGCAUAUUUUAUCAAUGACACAUCAAAGGUUCAUCAAGUUGCUAACCGCGAUCGAGGAGUGUGGCUCCAACACUUCAUGUCAUGUUUGUUUCAUGCUCUUGGGGCAUUUCAUCAAACACCUUAUGUGCAUAAGAGGAACCAAAAGCAAACCUACACCCACUUGUGAAGAGAAUGGCUCCAAAUGGCUAAGUGUUGGCUGCUGGAUGAGUAUAUAUAGGGGAGGGGCUUUAGUUGCGGUUGGCCUGGCAAACCGUGACUAAAGGUGCCCGAAGGCCUUUAGUCGCGGUUGUCCUGGCCAACCGCGACUAAAGACCCUCACGUGCGCCAGCUGGCCAUCGAGCGCCCUGGGCCCAGGCCUUUGGUCGCAGUUCACCUCCAGAACCGCGACUAAAGGUCCCAUUAGUCGCGGUUCCUACAGCUUCGCGACUUAUGGGGCUGGACGGAAGCCUGUUUUUCCACCAGUGGACCUUUAGUCCCGGUUCAUGCCACGAACCGGGACUAAUGGGGUUUGAGGCAUUAGUACCGGUUCAUGGCACGAACCGGUACUAAAGGUCCCAUUUUCAAACUCCACCCCCCCCCCCCUUGGAUCGCCUUUUCAGGUUUUUUUUAAAAAAGAAAAUGAUGAAAAUGUCAAAAAAAAAUAAGUUUCCCAUGUGAUAUGUGGUCUAGUUGUUGGAAAAAUUUACAAAUAUGAAUUUCGACUUUAUUUGCAAAAUCUCUCUAGAAUUUAGUAAAAUGGGCAUAACUUUUGCAUACUGACUCGGAUGAAAAAAAAAUUAUAUGAAAAAUCAUCUACUCGAAAAGUUACAUCCAAAUUUAUUAUGGGGCUUUUAAAAUCUAGAGUGGAAAAAAUCGAAAAAAAUUCAAAUUAUGGUCAAACAAUGGUCAAACUAAUUAUUCUAGAAUAUUAGUGUUACUAAAUAAUUAUUUCAGUUAAUUUGAAUUUUGGUCAAAUCUGGUCAAACUGUGGUCAAACAAUGGUCAAACUAAUUAUUCAAGAAAUAUUAGUGUUACUAAAUAAUUAUUGUUUUUUAAAACAAUAGUUUCAAACUCAAACAGUGAAAUGUGUCACUUCAUGCUCACGCAAAAUUCCUGAGGGUUAAUAGGAUUGACAUCUUACUAUUGUCAGCAAAACAACAAGUGCAGACUUGGAAACGAGGGAGAAUAGAACCCGGAAGUUAAGCGUGCUCAGGCUGUGGGAGUGGGAGGAUGGGUGACCGUUUGGGAAGUUAGAUGAUUAGGAAUGAUGAGGGGUGAUUAGAGAUUAGAGGAUAAAUUGAGCAGUGAUGAGGGGUGAUGAUUAGAGAAUAGAGGUUAAAAUAAUUCAGAAAUUUGAAAAUAAAAAAAUCAACAAAAAAAUUUCAAAUUUUUUUUAAAAAAAAAUCAUAAAAUUUCCUUUAGUCCGGGUUGGUGUUACCAACCGGGACUAAAGGUGGAGCUCCACGUGGCCGCGACCUUUAGUCCCGGUUCCAAUUUGAACCGGGACUAAAGGGGGGAGGGAUUAGUAACGACCCUUUAGUCCCGGUUCAAGAACCGGGACUAAAGGCCCUUACGAACCGGGACUGAUGCCCCCUUUUCUACUAGUGGAGGGCCCCACCCAUUGUCGGCCAUGAUUGAUGUGCCAUAGAAAAAGGUGGAAGGAGGAUGCGGCUGCGUUGGAACAGGAAGACUGAUAAACCUCCGGCCUCUGCAUCGACUAAUGCACACAAUCAUAUAGUGUUUAUUAUUAGAAUAAUAUCUAGCAAAAAUAUGCAUUGAUCCCAAAAAAUUAAAUUAAAAAAGAAAAUGAAAACAAAAGACCAUCCACAUAGGACAUGCCUCACAACGACAUCUCCAAAAUCCUAUUGCAAAUCCUAUGACCAUGAACCAAUCGACUCGUGGAGGGAGAUGUGAACUAGCAAAGGGCGCAACACACCAAGAGAAUGUCUUCAAGAAGGAAUCACCUAUUGGAUGGCGUUGUUGGUUGGUUCAACCAUCCAUCGGACUAGGGGCUCUCACCGAGAAGCUGAUCUUUGCAUCAACCUUCAAUAAGGUAAUUAUGUGGAGAGGGUGUUGAUGCCUGAUCAAGUAGAAGGCUAAAUCAAGGGUUUGCUCGCUAAGAGAAUACAACCCCAUAGUCUCCAUCCACCACUCUAUCCGUCUGCUCACACAGAGCAAGCCAGACAAAGUAGAAAUCAUCAAAAGGGAAGAUGUCAUCGCAUACAUUCCAAUUGUUGUCGCACCACCAUCUCGUUGAUAGUUACUCUGUGUGCAAAGACGAUGUCUAUAGCAGUCGUUACUAGAUGCACUAUCCAGGUACAAAGGACAAGUCAUUGUAAAAGUCAGAUUAACUUAAGAACCGGUUUAAUAUAUUAUCUUGGUAGUUGAUAUCCAUUUAUCAAUUUAUGUACCCUUUACGUCUGUUAAGAGCCUCCCCUCAACGAGUUUUCUUUCGCUAGAAGUUUGAAGAAUGUCCUCUAUUCUCUCUGGGCUUUUAAAGAGCAGCUACCGAACGAUGUUCUCCAUUAAAAAUUUUGUAUUCCAGCAACCAUGAUUGCAUCCAAGGUUGCCAACUUGGAAGACAAAUUGUGUCUCUAGAAUUACUUAAUUGAUUGACACAUGGACUGCAAUUGAAACAAUUCUACACGAGAGGAGGGAAAGGAAUUGUACCAUAGUGUCAACGCACAUUGCAGUCAAUCCGGGAAACAUGACCAUGACCCACAAUUACUCGCAAAGUGUGAGAUCCUGGUUUAAUAGUAAUGAUAGACUACUCAUAUCAAUAAAAAAAUCCUUCUAUUUUGGGAUCUCAUUAACAAAGAACUCCAAAGUUAAGCAUGCUUAGCUUGGAGCGAUUUGAGGAUGGGUGACAGACUAAGAAGUCGGCAUCAGAUGCGCACGAGUGAGGGUAAAAUGCGCAGGAAAGACUAGUGUUAUUUUGUGGGGUCAGUCUAAAUCCCGCCAAACGUAUAGGCAAGGAACGGCGGCUGUAGUCGAGCGUUACAAUUGGUAUCAGAGUCAAACCUCACGGUAACACAGGCAUGCUUGGGUCAGGUGUGCGGGCAUAUGGUGCAUGGCAUGUGUGGCCCGUCGCGGCACAAGACAUGGCCCAUGUGCCAGACUGGACGCAUAGACGUAUACCAAGAGGGAAUGUUUCUGUGGGCCGAUGAGGACGUCGGUUCCAUUAACUGGGGUUGUAAGUGAGAUCCUGACUUAAUAGGAAUGACAGACUACUCGUUUAAGGAACUCUUUUUCUUCUGGAGCUCAUUCACAAAGAACUUCAAAGUUAAGCGUGCUUGACUUGAAGUAAUUUAAGGAUGGGUGACCAAUACAAAGUUGUUGCAUUCCUUGAAUCCUCGGUUUCCAUUGUGUAGCCGCUUAAAAAGGCACGGGUGCAUAAUGUUUGUUAAGUUCUGGUUGAAUUGUCAAAGAGGCCAACGAGUGACUUUCCCAGUGAGAUGAAACCACAACAAUUUUAUAUUUCUUUUAGCGGGUUCAUAAUGAUAUCUAUCUUGGGUGGGGCCUCUUCACCACCAAGGAUGCCUAUGUUGUGCUUUUCACCCAAAAUGCUGAUCCCCAAGCUCGCCCACAUCUAUGAAUUCAAUGUGCCUACGCGAAUCAAGAUCUUUGGAUGGCUCCUGCACAUGGACUGCCUCAACACACGUCAAACCAUCAAAAAGAAAACUAUCAUUAAUGACGACACCUUCCUUCUCUAAACCAACACUAAAGAAUAUCAAAAUCAUUUAUUCUUCGAAUGUUACUUCCCUCAAAGUAUUUGGCAGAAGAUGCACAACUGUGUACCAGCCCAUUGGUCAUCUCUAGGGUUUAUCAAAGAUCCCUCAAUUAUCACCCAUGCUUAAACCAUUCUUCAUGCUCGCAGUUAUUUGGAAAAUAUGAUACUCAAGCAAUGCACAAAUGAGAACCUUGGCACAAAUGUUGUAAUAGCUAUCAAACUUCGACCUAUGGACAAAUCGGCUUCAAAACCACAAGAAGGUGACCUGAUUUCCUUCUCUCCUGUAUAAGACCCAAUCAGCAUAAUUUGCUCAACAACCUGUCAAAGCAUUUUCCAAUACCUUCCAAUCUUUGCAUCUUGGGCACACCAUUGCACGUUUCCUACUAUGUGUGACAUGCGUUACUAAAGAAACUGCAAGCUAAGUUUGGCAUUUGCACUACUGUAUUUCUAGCAAAGAAACCAUCUUAUGAUGCAAAUCACACACCCCUCGCCUCGUCACCCCUCCUCUUAUAAAGUGUAACUUGAAUGCCACUUACGAUAGUACAGAGGCAAUAAAUUCCAAACAAAUAUUAUUUGAGGAGAUGAAUGCAUUCCUAUUCCUAUCACCAGCUUCUCUAACAGCACAAAAUUUGCAGAAACAAUCACUCGCGCAGGAAUGGACAAUUGGAUAGCUCUUUGCAUUUGCAUGUUCACCUUAGUCAUUAUUUAUACUUGGGGUCAAACAAACUCCAAUGAACUUUUUGGAAAAAUGGGUUUUGCUCCUCCAAAACAACUUUAUAUGUUUAGAAUCAUCUCAAAUACGCAAACAGACAUAGUUAAAGGAUGAUCAUAGUUCAGUUCUCUUCAUUCAUUUUUGGAAAUGACUUGUUUUCACCCGGCUGGUAUUUGUCGAUUCAUUAGCCACGUCGGGCCCCAUUCGAUCUCGCACGAUUGUGCGACCUUCACCUAGGCACGUACCCUAUCAUGUGCACACGUUAGCCCGCCGCUCCAAGCCUCCAACCUUAUCUUUUCAUCCUCAACCAUUUCCUCUCGAUCCUUCCUUUCCCCCAUGUCUAUCUCUCUCCCCGUCUCAACCACUCCACACGACGUAGCAAUGGUGAUCCAUGAGAGGCACCGCUACUAGAGACAAUGCUAGAAGCCUCGACUACACCAUCGAUGUGAGCUAGCCACCCAACAACAUCUAUGUUGCAAGCCCUACAGCAACAACAUGAGGUAGUGGCCACCGAUGCUGUGAGGGCCGGUCUCGGUUGUUGCCUAGCUCGGUGACUGGGGGCACCGCAAGGCCCAGACUCGGCUGCUGCAAGCCGCCAUGCAUUGCUACUGCGAGAUGCCACGCACCGCUGCUGCAAGCCGUCGGGGCGUCAGUGAUGCGAGUCGUCUUCGGUGCUGCAAGCCGUCACCCAUCUCUACUGCAAGGCCAGUGUUGUAAACUCACCUCUAGAGUUCUCAAAGGGGACAACACCUGGUGAUGCGAGGACAAGAAACGAGGUGGGUGCACAACACCUGGGUGUUGCAGGACGCCAACCCAUGCGUUGCUGCGAGCUUAUCCAGGUUUGCUGCAAGUGAGCUGGAGUUUGUUGUGGGGCCACCAUCGAUGCUAGAAUGACGGCUGAGAGAACAGUGGUGAUUUGUUGUGAGACCAUGGUGUGGUUGUUGCGAGCUUUGCCAAGCAUUGUCGCGAUCGAGCAGGAAUUUGUUGUGUUGGGGAGCCGCUGGGGUGAUGCUCUGACUAGCAGCCAUGGAUUUUGCGACGACGGGCAGCUAGUGUUGUGAGUGUGGGCGGCUUGCACUACUAUAGUGUGCCAAGUGUAGCCUACCACUGCAACAACGUUGCUAUGGCAUGGCUAGAGGUGUUGCAUGUGUUGCCACGAUUAUGUUCGGAUGGUGGCAGCAAUGCUUCUGCGGUGGUCGUCAGUGCGGCAACGAGCGGAGCUGACAUGUGCCCGCAAUAGACGCUGCUCUAGCCGACGAGGAAAGCGUGUAGGAGGAAGAUGCGGUGGGAAAUACGCAAGGCGAGAGGGAUGAUAGACGGCGUUGAGCAAACGGCUUAGAGCAUCUCCAGCUGUUUGGCCCCCCCAGGGGCUUGAGAUAGCGCCGCUUGGGGGGCAACCAACGGUAAAUCCGGCCUGGAAGGGGGGGGCUCGGGUUCCCAGCCGACCCUCCCAGUCGCCGAUUUUGGCACAAUUUAGGCCCAAUUUCGGCCCAAAUUUGGCGUGCUUCGGCACAAAUUCAACAAAAAACUCAAAUACUCCAUCACAGAAAUCAAUACAAAUUCAGCCCAAAUUCGGCGUUCAUCACAGAAAUCAAUACAGAUCGAAUAGUUCAACGAAGUAAACUCAUAAUUAAAACUCAUAGUUCAUCACACGUCGAACUAGAUGUUUCCCUUGAGCCUCCAUAGGUGCUCCACCAGAUCGUGCUGCAGUUCUUGAUGCACCUGUGGGUCUCAGAUCUCUGACGCAUAUUGAGGAAGGCAGCCCAUGAUGCCGGCACCUAGUGAUCAACUUGGGCAAGAGGACCCUGCCUGCAAUAUGAUUCAGUGUCAAACAUUGGCUCUUCCUGCUCGCUCUUAAUGAUCAUGUUGUGCAAGAUGACAUAGCAAGUCAUCACUUCCCACAUUUGAUCUUUCGACCAGGUCAGAGCGGGGUACCGGACAACGGCAAAUCGAGACUGGAGCAAACCAAAUGUCUGCUCGACAUCCUUCCUGCAGGCCUCCUGACACUUGGCAAAGUAGUUCUUACCUCCUAGCACAGGGUUGGAGAUAGUCUUCACAAAUGUGGACCAUCUCGGAUAGGAUGCCAUCUGCUAGGUAGUAUCCCUUGUUGUAGUGGCGCCCAUUGACCUCGAAAUUCACCGGAGGAGCAUGACCUUUAACAAGUUUGGCAAAGACAUUCAAGCACUACGGUACGUUGAUGUCAUUGUGCGUUCCUAGCACACCAAAGAAGGAGUGCCAAAUCCAGAGGCCCUGUGUGGCCAUUACCUCAAGUACCACACUGCAAGCUCCUUUGGCUCCUUUGUACAUCCCCUGCCAAGCAAAUGGAUAGUUUUUCCAUGCCCAAUGCAUGCAGUCAGUGCUUCCAAGCAUCCCAGAAAAUCCUCUUGCUGCAUUCUGUGUUAGGAUCUGAGCCGUGUCUUCAGCAUUGGGUGAUCGCAAGUAUUGUGGUCCAAACACUGCCACCACUGCCCUGCGGAACUUGUACAAACACUCAAUGGUGGUGGACUUGGACAUGCAUUCAUAGUUUCCAGUAUAUCAUCGGGAGCUCUGUAUGCAAGCAUCCUCAUAGCUGUCGUGCACUUCUGAAGUGAGUGGAAUCCAACUAUGCGGGUGCAAUCAUCCUUGCAAAUAAAGUAGCUGUCAAACUCCCGGAUGGCAUUCACAAUCCUGAGGAAGAGCUUUCGGCUCAUCCGAUAACGGCGCCCAAAUACUUUCUCGCCAUGUAGUUGAGUGUCGGCGUAGAGCAAGCAAUAGCUCUCCAGUCGAUGCCUCUGCUUGCACUUACGGCGGCCCGGCGCCAAGCCACCUCGUGCGGCUUUGCAUUGCUCGCGAACAGGCCGGCUAGAGCGGCGAGGAUUAUGAGGUGCGCUUCGCCCUGGGUAUCGGCCUCGACUUCCUCCUCCAGCAGCGCCGCGAACACCUCCUCGUCAUCGGAGUCAAUUGCCGAACAGGCAAAUUAAUCACCGAACACCUGGCGGGAGUGGUGGGUGCGCAGCCGCCGAUAUCCCCCGGCCUGCUUGGCCGGAGCGCUGGAAAGCUCGCCAGGAAUGGGAUGGAAGCUGCCGCGGUGAAACCCUCUCUUUCCGACGGUGAAUGGCCUUUCUAGCGGCGGAGCAGCGAUUGUGGGCAGGUGGGCGGCCUCGAGAUCGGCACAGCGACGAAAAGGGGAAGUGGCGUCCUACAACGCUCCGGAUUGAAUCUGGGCGGGGAAAGUCAUUUCUCGCCUGACAGUGGCGGCUCACGGGCCACUUUUCCUUCCGCCAGAGCCCCCACGUGCCUCCCAGUGCGCUGGGUUUGGCCUGGGAUCGCCGGGCCAAAAAAUGGGCGCAACCAACGGAAUUCANNNNNNNNNNNNNNNNNNNNNNNNNNNNNNNNNNNNNNNNNNNNNNNNNNNNNNNNNNNNNNNNNNNNNNNNNNNNNNNNNNNNNNNNNNNNNNNNNNNNNNNNNNNNNNNNNNNNNNNNNNNNNNNNNNNNNNNNNNNNNNNNNNNNNNNNNNNNNNNNNNNNNNNNNNNNNNNNNNNNNNNNNNNNNNNNNNNNNNNNNNNNNNNNNNNNNNNNNNNNNNNNNNNNNNNNNNNNNNNNNNNNNNNNNNNNNNNNNNNNNNNNNNNNNNNNNNNNNNNNNNNNNNNNNNNNNNNNNNNNNNNNNNNNNNNNNNNNNGGGGGGGUGAGUGCAUAUGCUCUUACACGAGCGGAACCAAGGGCAGAAGUGGGGGUGAUCUUUCCCUCAGUACAGCCGGUUGGAGCCUAGCCUCGUCCUCCAUUUUCUCCUUGCAAAAAAAAGUAUGUUCACGGUGAACAAAGUAGCUUAAGAUAAGCGGGUGGCCUAAUUGACGGCCACCCUUUGGGAAUUGUGACAUCCACCCUCAGCCACUGAGCGCACGCCCCACACAGAGCGGUUGUCAAAACGAGUCCUCCUCCUUAGCGCCUGUAGUGCCAAAUAAGAGCAAGUAUAAUAGGGUGAUGUAAUCAGGCUAUAAGGAUUUAAAUAUUAUAUUCUUAUUUAGUUGGAAGAGAGAGAAAGGAGCGGGCUGCAAACUAGUAGCCAGCUGCAGCACGUGCUCCAAGAAGCAUUGUGAGAGAAGUUCAUGUAGUGAUAAAGUAGUAAAAUCUUAUAGCACACUAUUAUAUGAGUUGGCUCUUAAGUUGGCUAUAAAUUACAUGGCUACUACAUAUAGCCAACAGUUAGCUCUACUAUUAACCAUGCCCUAAGGCAAACGGCGCUCACAUAGGCGCUUAUUCGGGUGGCCUGAUAAAUAGUUUCCUACCUCCGCCCGCUCGCUACUUGCCUACCUCCUUUUCGCUCCCUCCUUGCUCUUCCACUUGACGGUCGAUACGUAACUGGUCAAUUCUGGACCAUUCGAGAUUCGACCAUUGACUUAAAAAAAAGUUCAUGAAAAAAGGGAAAAUUUAAAAAACAUGACUCUUUUUGUAAAUUUGAAACAAAAAUCAUGAAAUUUGGAGGAAAAAGAAAGAUAAUGAACUUGAGAAAAUGUUCACGACUUUGAAAAAAAAAUUUGAAUUUUUUUAAGAAGUCCAAAAUUUGGACAAAAUUCAACUAUUAUGAAACAAAGUUCACGAAUUUUAAAAAGGUUCAUGUAUGUUUUUAAAAGUUCAUACCAAUUUGAAAAAAAUCAUGAGCUUUGGAAAAAGUUCACGAAUUUCUAAAAUCCAGUAGUUUUGAAAAAAAAAUCACAACUUUGAAAAUAGUCCAUGGAUUUUUAAGAAAAAGUACAUGGAUUUUGAGAAGUCAAUGAAUUUAAAAAGGUUCAAGCAUUUAAAGAAAACAAGAAGAAGAAAAAAGAAAGAAAAAGGAACCAGAAAAAAUAAAAUGAAAAAAACAGAAAAUAAAUAACCCGAAUAAGAACCGUCCGAAAAACCAAAAAAAAGAAAAAAAUCACCGGAAGCUUUCAGAAUUUUCCCAAAACCGGGAGCUUUGCGUGUGCUUCAGUUAGUGGGCUGGGCUGUUCAAAAGUACAAUUGUGCCGGUUAGUCGGCCGGGCCCGGCGGCAGGACCUUGUCCCGGUCGUGCCUUCUGUUUGGCUGGCCGCGAUGGGACUAAUGACCCCCUGGCGUCCGGCUGUCUAGCGUCUUCCCGGCGGCGGAGCCUUGUCCCAGGCUCCCAACCAUGCCUCCCCCUUGUGCUGGUUGUGGUGCGCUGUGGGGGUGGAUUCGGGCCUCCCCCGGCUCAUUCUGUCCCGUGGUGCCCGUCUGUGGUGGAGCGUCUAGCGGCGCCCAAUGUCAUCUCCCCCGGUGAUUGGCGCGGCUCUUCUUCCAGUGGUUGCGGUCUCGGCCUGCUCUGGCUUUCCGUGUCUCUAAUCCUGAUCCAGGUGCCUUUGUGAUUGUGUGGAGUGUGGCCGGGUGAAAGCCUAGCACGGCUUGCCGAUGCUGGCGGCAGUGACACCUGCGGUUGUCGUUCCCUUCUUGAAGGUGCCGCCAUGGGCUCCUCUCCGCGCCCCUACACGAGUAUCGGGUGAAACCCUAGAUCUGGUUCGCUAGAUCGAACGGCAGCAGUGACUCAAUGUUGUAUCCUUCAUGAAGGCGCUGUCUUGUUACUCGUGAUGUGUUCGGUGAUGGAUUUGAUGACUUCAGACGCUUUGCUGGUCCGGGCUGCUCCUGUUGGCGUGGGUUUCCGGGGCGCUAUGUACAGUCUCGACGGCGCUCUCUCCAUGGCUUCUCCUUCGGCCAGGUCCUGCACCCCACUUGCCGUUCCUCUAGGCGCAUAGGUGGGAGGUACGUUGAUCCGCUUCAUCCUGGAGUCUGGGUUGUGCGAGGUUGGUGCCCGGCGUUGGUCGCGACGUGGCCUAAAUACCUUUGUUUCUCUUGUCCUUGCCUUGCUGGCUGGAGUUUAAGUUAGGGAAACGUUUCCACCCGGUGCGCCGGCCGAAACGUUGGGCCGGAUGCACGCGGGCAUUACACAUGGUGGGGCCAGGCGGUGGUUUUUCCUCUCCCGAUCCCCUUAUCUCUUCAAGCUUUCACGCCACAGCACACACAGUGUUCGCUCUCCUCCACUCAUUCCCCUUCCUUCCUCCACUUUCUUUUUCCCUUCCACCUUUCCACGCCGGAGCACAAGUCAAGGACAUUCGCCGCUUUUUUUCGCUGCUGGCCAAGGCCGUCCUGAGCUGCGACCGGCAAAAUAGAGGAGUGGCGGCGCUGCAGAUUUGGAGCAGGAAGAGCGGUGCUGUGGAGACAACUGAGAUGCGAUGCGGGGACGUGGGGAGGAGUUGCAAGGUUCUGCAACCGGUGGACCUGGAAGCUCAACUGGCAGGCGCGCGACCACGCCGGCGACUCCUCGAUGUUGUAACCGGCGGAGUUGAAAGCUUCUACUAGCGUGCUAAAAAGCUACGACCGGCAACGGCGAAAGCUGCAAUCGGGCGGCCAUGCCGACCACGCCGGCGACCACCGAUGUUGCAACUGGCGGAGCUAAAAGCUUCUACCAGCGAGCUAAAAAGCUAUGGCUGGCGACAGAAAAGCUGCAUCACCAGAAGCUGCAACCGGCAGUGCACCAUGGCCGGGGAUGGCAUCCACAGGAUGCUACGCGCAGCGACGCGCGGACGCUGCAACGACCGGAAUGAGAUACUGGAACCGUCUAUUCAAAAAGCUUCCGCCGGCGAAAAGGAAAGCUACUACAGAAACAACUGCUACAACCCAGCGACGACGACGGCGACGACAGAGUGCUGCAACAGGCUAGCAAAAAGCUGGAAGUGGCGAUUGUGAUUGCUACAACCAGAGGUGUGACAUGCUGGAACCGAGUUUGCCACUGCUGAAAGAACUCUGGCACUCCAGGCCACCAUUCGUUUUUGCUACAGCCAUAGAUGUGCCGAGCUACAAUCACCGUGCGUUUCGCUGGAACCAAGGAUCAUCAGCGUUGGAACGAAAGAAGUCCAAAUAACCCCCUGGGGUUUCACAAACCGGCCACUUCACCCCCUCAUGUUUAAAACCCGGUAUCUAACCCCCUAGGCUUUCCUAAACCAUCUGAAUCGCCCCCUAAUCCUUAUUAGAGUGGUUUUACAAAUGAUUUUGGUGAUGUGGCAAUGUGCACCUCGUUCCUGACAUGCAUCCGGCCUCAUGCAUUCUCCUUCGAGCACAAGUCAACGUUGUGCCACUCGGGAAGCAUCGUGUUGAUGCAUGUCAUCAGCACGUAGCACGCUGAGUCCCAUUCUUCUCACUCGGUGAGCUUCUCAGCCGUGAGCGUCCCCUUCUCCAGCUUACUAUGCAGCUUGUACGAGGCCAGCAAUUUCUUGCACACCAGGCCUCUCCGGUCCAGCGCAUCACACGGGGUUCGUGGGAUCCUUCUGGUUGUCUGCAAUGUCAUGCUCCUGCUGCGCGGACACGGCGGCCGCGCUGGGGUGCACGCACAACCCGCCAACCGAUGCAAGUUCAGGCGACCCCUCGCCGUGCGCACCCAGUACGGCAGUGUCUCGUACUCAAGCUCUCCAAGGCGAACAGUGGUGGGAUGGUCGCGUCGUCGUCGACGGUGACGAGCAUGACAUUGGCGUCGGAGUGGCGAGGAGCUGGAGCGUCGCUAGCGAGGCGCACAUAAUUUCUCUCCGGCUAGAACGCACUGCUCCCCCGGAUACAAUACACACAUACAGACCGGCUGGAUCGAUUCGGUCUUGCACAAGCAUGCACGUACACGCAAGUACGAGCUUCCAUGUUCGAGCCGGAUUGGAGUAACCUAAUCGUGAUUAGCUCUGAUAGUGGAUGCUGCCAGCUACCGGCGGCGGCACGAGCUUGAUGAGCUAUUGUCAGCGAAAGAAGAAGAGGACGUGCCCGGCGAGAGCGUUGCCAGGGUGACUACGACACACGGGGGGCACGAUGGAAAGUAGAGAUUGCAUAUACAAGACAAAACACAGCCGGCUGCUGGCUAGCUGGUUCUGCUUCUGAGUACCUCAACAUCAUGUCGUUGUUUGCAAGAGAUCUGCCUGCCGGGAUGGAGGUACCGUGCAGACGUGGUACCUGCAACCAUGCCAUGUCACGAAAACCAUCCUCAAAAACCACUCUAAGCAGGGGUAGGGGGUGAUUUACCUGGUUUAGAAAAGCUCAGGGGGGCAAUUACCCGGUUUUAGACCUCGGGGGGUAAACUGGCGAAACCCUAGGGGGUUAUAUGGACUUCUUUCCGUUGGAACUGCCCGUUUUGCUGCUACCACAGAUGAGAAAAGUUACAAACGGAGGCUCGAGAUGCUGGAAGCGACAAAUGCUACAAGCAAGCGAGUGGUCUGCAAGGGAGCUCGUCGCCGGCGUUGUGCUGCAGGGUCGACGGCCGCGGGGCGCGACUAGCUCGCUGGAUAGGUGCGCAGGAUACAACCAUGGCUGGCUGGCGUAUGCUCACGAGGGAAUCCACCAGGGUCCAAGCAAAGCGGUGAGGGAAGGUGCAAAGGAUAAGGAACGAACGGCUACAAAUCACCCAAUCGAACGGGCCUGGUGCGACCGGCCAAAAUUUCGGCCGGCGCGCCGGCGCCUAACAGUGGCCUUUAGGAGAGCUUUACGCUGUGUUGUAUCCCUUUUUGUGUUUCCCACACCUUGUGUGUGGUGCUUCUCUUUUUUUUCUUGUUUUUUUUUGAACACAUCUUUUUGUCUUGUUUACCUAUGUAAUUUCUUUGCUACCUAUUAAUGAAUGAUACGCAAGCUUUGUAUAUUGGCGGAAAAAAAAUAUAGCAAGGACCGGUCCCUAGAGGCCACCACGAGGCUGUUGCCGUCUGUCUUGCCAAUCUGGCCACCUCUAGCGGCGAUGAGGACGGGAGACGCCGCCGGUAGCAGGGAUGCAGGCCAGGAACCCAAGCGGUGUGCGCGCCGGCGGCGGCGCGGCCCGGAGGCGAGUGUGCGAUUUUGUCCGCUGGACACGGACACCCCUAGGUAACUGAUUAACUUUCUCUUCAGCGGCAUCUCUUUACCUCCCGAUCCUCCCAUCUCCAAUCGCCAUCAGAUUUUGCAGGCUAUGAGUGCAUUACCAAUGGAAAUUGAAUUGACUGUUUGCUAUCAAUGCCAAUCGCCAAAAAAUAUUAUGCCCUCACCUUUUUUUUUCCGAUAAAGAACGUUUUUAUUAACUCAAAAUGUUGCCCUCACCUUCUUUUAAGAAAGAAAAUAAUAUCACGAAGAUAUCAAUUACACCCGACCUCUAUACCAACAAGAUGUACAAAGGCAUAAAAGUAAACACAGCCAAAAAAGAAGAAAAAAAGAAAAAAAGACCAUGCCAUUGCCGCGGUGACAAAUCACUAGCAUCAGCAGCCCUCUAACCAUCACCAAAGACAACACUCAAAAUACAAAAGAGAUUCACCAAAGACAACACUCAAAAUACAGAAGAGAUUCUUCAAAAGCAACACCUCUAAAAGGAAAACAAUGCACAAGCUGACUGAACAAAGUUUGAGCUCACCCAAAAACAAUGAUUUCAACAAGUCCAUUGCCAGAUAUAACCAAUAAAAGUCUGACCUUGUGUUUUCACCCUGGGGAUUGAGACUCGACAAGCACCAUGGAGCUUUUUUUGAGUUCUCCAUGUGAGAAACUGCAUCAGAGAAACUCCACUCUGGAGCACUUACUAUCCCAAAUUGCAUCCGAGUAGUACGAAGUUUCCCGAAAACUUUAAUCACAUAAACCAUGUUACAGUGCAUAGGUUGUUGGCAUUUGGUUUUGUCCUUGCCAAGACCUGCACUAUUCUUCAGAGAAACUCCACAGUGCAGCACACAUCAGUGAAGCUCUUAUCAAAACCACACACACACACAUACCAGGUUCAUUCAUGACAAAAGGGGUGAUCAUCCAAUUUCCAAGGCAGAGAGGAGAAGUGAGACAGACAACGAAACAUUGCAUUGAACUCUGAUGAAAGAUGAACAAUAUGGGCAGGCGUUUAUUCCACGCAACAAAUGCGGCUGGCAUGAACCAGCGAGCACUGCCCAGGACCUCACAAAUGUGCCGAGACAACAAAUUAACACACCCCACGACCAGACCAAAUGGAAACUACGGUAGACAGACAAAUCAUAACGCAGCCGACACUUCACCCUCCCGCUGAAUGCGCCUCUUCAUGCCCCAUUGCACCGCGCUAGUUGUCGGAGCUCUC
Molecule: long non-coding RNA, 75428 nt
Filed under: Triticum aestivum (bread wheat)
Lineage: Eukaryota; Viridiplantae; Streptophyta; Magnoliopsida; Poales; Poaceae
Description: long non-coding RNA (TAES_LNC015777)
Source: RNAcentral